CUUUUUUUUUUUUUUUUUUUUUUGUCAACAUAAGGAGUAUCUCAACUUUUGCCAGACUAAUUUUCCUGCGCCCGUGCAUCUCGCCCCCAUGAAUACACGAGACGGUAGGAGAACCAGAAUCAACCACACGACCUGGGCCUAAUGCGGCUAUCCCAUAGCCAGCCGAUCUGCGCCGAGGGGCAAUAAACCCGCAUCACGUGCUUUGUAUGAUUGUUGCUCAUUCUAUACUAGUAUAAUUUGUUUGAACCAGGACUCAUCAGCUUAAUUGAUGGUAGGGGGAUUAUGUAUGACAAAAGUUUGGGUCUGUGCCAAAUUGGAUACGUUGUUUGCGACCCCACAGAACCAUAUUUUGAUCAAUCACUUAAAGUCUGCAAGAACCAGCGUCAGAUGGAGGCAUCCAGUUUUGCUGUUCAUGCAAGCUUUUGCUUCUGGUAAAAACAUUGAAAGGAGAAUGUGACGAGUCAUGCUUUUUUAUGGACUAGCGAGGCAAAUUCCUUAAUUACAGCUUCUGCAACGGAGUGAUGAUACCAAUUUAGCAGCAAAUUAAGUGCCGGCUUUUGCAAUUUCAAGCAAUUAUUGUCUCAAGAAUUGGUCCCCCGGGGGCCAGCAGGUCGCAACAGCAGGCUACGAGUCACUAGUACUAUCUACAUGCCUAUAUGGUUCGUAGAUGCAUGCAUGGUGAUUGGUGCAACCAACCUUAGCUGGUGGGUUCUGUCUUGAAUACUGAAUAGUACCAAGGUUGUCGCUUCGCAAUCGACGCUUCCCCAAUUCACCUCAUCCAUCCAUCCGUUUCUCUCCAGUCUCUAUACGCAUAACGCCGAUACACAUUUAUAAAUAUAAGUUGACAUAUAUUGCCUGUUACGUACAGCUUCAGUGCAUAUCCUUUUCUUUUAUUGUGCAGUACGUCCAUCGAGUACAGUACCGAUAGUUCAUUAUUGUGCAGUACUAAAGAGUACCGAUAGUUAAGUUUGUUCAUUAUUAUCUUUUUUGGAUAAAAAAACAAAAGUUUCUGAAAUUUCCAUUCUGUUCACGAGGACUAAAAUCGCUUAUAGAAGUACUUAUAGGUAGGUUAUUUGCUAAUACAAUUUUCACGUGGAGAUUUGAACUGAACAUGCACUUUUUUUUUUUUUUGGGUAAAGAGUCGACCGAUUCAGUCAACAUGUAAUAGCCAACACUAGUGAUUCGUUCUGUUCAAUACUACUGGUAUCCAGGUGAAGUGCAGUGCUAGAAUCGAAACAAGCUGAUGAUCUCAGCGACUCUGCUGGCUCCUGCAGGCGGGCGGUGAGCAGAUGUUGCAAGACUUUACUAGCUGUCUGCAAUCCAAGUGUAAAUGCCCAUCCCCCCCGAGUCUUGUCUAAAUCAAGCAUUGAAGGGAGGGAGGAUUGCAACUAGGCCAGGCUCCAUCCUGACUUUUGUUUGCCCGAUUGAUUGCCAGGCACUCUCUCGUUUUUUUUUUUUUUGUUUGUGUUGUCCAUUCGCGCGCGGCUCCAAAAAUUAACAGCUGCAUCUGGUAGAACUGCAUAGAUGUGAACUACAGUUGGACAGAAUGAAUCCACGUCUAUCAAUUAGGUAGGCGCAUAACCAGUUUUUCGGCCACACGAUCAUUCCAUUGUAACAUGUAGACAUUCGUUUAAGACCCACGAUGAUCAUCUUAUCUGUGUUCCUAUAAAACAGUUUAUAAUGCUGCGAUGAAGCAUGGUCGAAAUUACUUACUCGUUCAAUUAAGAAGAGAAAAGUUGAAUGCAAAGGUUGCCGGCAUGAAUUUUAUUUCGUCCUUGUUAAACUUGAACAUUAAUUAAACACCACUCAACUUCAUUUACUUAAGUUGGGAGUUACACUACUAUUACCCUUCUAUUCUUUUUGUUCAAGGCAGUUCCCGAUAAAUGAUUUUCUUGACAAAUCAAGUGUAUGAGAAACUGUCGCGUAUGUACCUGAGACCGAGUACAUGUUCUUUGAUGUUAGUAAUACCCAAACAAUCAAAAUGGUUGAUUUUUUACCUAUUUAGGUGAAGCUCAAAUUGACUUAUGCUUCCUUCUGAGCCAUGUUAAUUAAGAGGAUAAUUUCGCCACAGACUCGGAAUCUAGAUGUUUGUACAGCGAAUUUGUUUUUCCAAUUUUUUGAAAAGCGUUACAAAAAGUCAAGAUGGCCGAGUUGGUCUAAGGCGCCAGUUUCAGGUACUGGUCCGAAAGGGCAUGGGUUCGAAUCCCAUUCUUGACAUCUAAUUUUUUUCCCCUUCAGAAUUGGUCCUUUAAUUUAAGUAAUCAAGCCCAUAGCUUGGGCCAACGGCAACAAGCGGGCAGCUUCAAUACUUGAACUACCAUCAAUUGUCCAAAACUUUUCUCAACCCCCGUCACAAAGAUGACCUGCCCUUGUGGUGGAACGGAUGCUGCUGCUGAUUUCUAUUGGCCCAAAAAUAAUUGCUUCUCACAAAUAAAUAUUUGGAAAUGUUCAAUUAAUGCGGGAUAACAUCUGGAGAUUAGGGAUAAUAAAUUUGAAAGUAUGCACCUUAAAUCGAAAGUGUUUUAAUUGUAAAUAGAAUAGCCUCUCAAUAUUACCAAAACACCUUUUUUUUUUUUUUUUUGCUGCCAAAAACACCCCAUCCCCCUUCUUCCUACCUCCCUAUCAAAUUUAAUAUUUGUCUUAUAAUUAGUAUAUUAAAUUUUAUAAAAUAGUAUAUUAAGUUCUUUUAUAACAAUUUUUGUUCAAGAAAAUAAAAAUUAUAGAAUAUAAAAAAGUGCAUGUGCAAAUGCACAGGAAAGAAACUAGUUAAUAUGUAUAUAUAUAUAUAUAUAUAUAUAUAUAUAUAUAUAUUAAGUAUUGGUUUGAUUAUUUAUUGCUAUUACUAAAUUUGAAUAAAGUACGCUGCAUUAAUGUUCAUGUGGAUAGUUUUUUACUAAACCUUCCUCUUUAAAAGAUUCAUGUACUUGCAAGCAUGCAUGCAUGCAUACAUACAUGUACACUUAUGUACGUGAAAAUUAAACCUUCAUCUUUAAAAGAUUCAUGUACUUGCAAGCAUGCAUGCAUGCAUACAUACAUAUAUACUUAUGUACAUGAAAAUUAAAUUAGGGAAAAACUAUCCACAUGAACAUUAAUGUGGCGUGCUGUAUUUAAAUUUUAGUAAUAGCAAUAAAUAAUCAAACCAAUAUUAGGAAUAAAAGCAUGUGAUUGAAGAUGAUUAGAAAAGGAAACAUAUGAGUUGAUUGACAAAAAACAAAUAAUGUAGAAUUAAUACAGAUUUGUAUAAGGUAGGUCAUUAAUAAAUUUGUUGACAUUGAUUAUAAAUAAGGAACCAUGUUACGAAUGAAGUAAAAAAAGAUGAGAAUUAAUGGUUACAAAGAAUAGAAAACAAAAAAUAUAUAUAUAAACAUGAAAAGCCCUCCACGUGGCGAAAAGAUAGAUAGCCUAUUCAAUGACCUACCAAAACCAGAACUGAUCAUUGUGCAAAAAUUCUAGUAUUAUUUGAAAUAUUAUUUGAAAUAAUUAUUAUAUCACUUUUUAUGAUGUGAUGUAUGUGAGAUAAAAAGAUAAUUGAGAAUAUAAAAAGAUGGGUUAGGAAAUGUGUUUAUGAUGCAAGCGAAAUAUAAUUUCCCACAAGAUUUAAAAAAUUCCAAAUCCUUACCAAAAGAAAUUCUACCAAGAUUUAUGUGCAAAAAAUUUACAUAUUUGGGCAAAGAGUGUAGGCAGGGUGCGGGGGAAAAUGUCACGGUGGAUCCACCUCUUCUUAAAUGAGACAAGGCUAUUACGAUGGAAGAUGAAAGGUUGUACCAAGUGUGGAAACUGGAAAUGCUACCUACCUUCUAAGAUGAGCAUCGCAAUAUUAAUAUUUGGAGGUACAACUGUACCCCCCCCCCCCCCCAGUAAAACAAUGGCUGCCUACCUCACAUCACCUCCCUCCAUCACCAUGUCCUUUCUGCCCCUCUCUGUCAGCCCCAUUGGACCACUACAUACAUCAGAUGAUUGUGACUAACUAAGAAGAUAAAAUGAAAAAUCGUUUGAAAACGGAUAACUGAGAAAAGGGGUAGGGAAAUCAUCUGCUCUGCGGUAUAAAUAAAGCUAUCUCCCCUACAUAUAUAUACAACUAAGCGACUGAAAACACAAGCUGCUGUGUUCUGCAACCAAGAAAGAAAUUAAGAGACAGAAAAAGGCACUAGAAUUAAUCAAGUUAUCCGUCGUCGACGCAUUAAACUUGAAGGCAAGCAUUUCUACAACAUAUCUAUCUCCUUGAUUUAUUGAGCUUUGUUUGUUUGUUUGGAUGCUGGAAGGAUAAGGGCUUCAUGCAAGAACUAGCUGCAUUCAUUUAUGAUUUUGACAUUAUGUUUGAGAAAAUAUUCGAAACUUUUUUGAGUUUCAGCUCUAUCUAUCUGCCAUUUUUCGUUUCGUAGCAAGUAUCUGUUGCCAUCUUCCACCCACCGCACCCACCGCCGCUGUAUAUUUAUAAUCCAGAUCAAGCUGUUUUUCACGUUAAAACUUCUUUCUUUUUCAUGAAUAACUGAUCUUUUAUUUGCCAAUUUUUAUACCUUUUGAGUUGGCGCAUGACAUAUUCUUACAUUUAACAGCGAAUUUAUGUAACAUGAUGUUAUUUUUUUUAGGUAUUUAUUAGCGCAAUCCAUUUUAUUUCUCUUUGCCUUUUCAACCAUUUGGAUUAGUUUUAUACUUCUUUUUUACCCCACUCUUUUGAGGGGAAACAAAAUUACUCCUACUAUUUUUGUCGACUAUAUAUAUUGCAAUUAUUACACGAUAUAUUACCACAAUUAUAGGCAACAGAAUUGCAUUGACCGGAUCAUAAAAUUAUCCGUUUUUAAUCCGCAAUUAAUUUGCGUCGCUGUAGAACUGGCAAAUAUAGGAAGGAGGAUUGGAUGAUGAAGCGUGCCUUAGCUGCUUUCUUUUCCAUACUGGAUUUUUAGGCAAUCUUAACUGUGAUUCUGGUACGAAUUAACCUUAUCCAUAAAAAUGAAAUCAUCAUUCAUGGAAUCUAUUCUGUCGUGGCUACAAUUUGGUCGCAAGAUGGUAAGUCUGUCACAUGCAGGAAUAUCUUGAACAUUAUUGCCCAUAUCAAUUUUCCUCCUACUUUCCACGGCUCUCCAGUCCCGUCAAAUUCCAUAAGUACCCUAUAGAAUAAACCAACAAAGAUACAACAGUCUAAUUUAGCAGAAAGUCUUUUGGACAGGUUGAGAAGAAAGUUUUGAGGUACGUAAUGUUCAUGAGUAGUGGUAGUUUCGUACAACAACACGUACUUUCACAUGUGAGGGGGACGUGCGUCCUUCAUGCAUUUGUCCCUUUUUUUUUUUUUGGGAUGUUUUGUCCAUGUAGCUGGAUAAACGCAAGAUUCAUCUAGUCCCCGGCCGAUGUUUUUGGGAUUUUUUUUUUGGGAUGUUAUAUCUGCGAUUCAGCAGGUAGUCAAAAGUGCGGAAGAAGUUGAAUUCAUUCAUAAUUUGUGAGAAGAGAAUGAUACAGAGAAUCAGGACAAAAAGAUUGAAAGUUUUUAAGUUGUUGAAGUGUCCAUCUUCCUCCUCCUUCCCUGUAUUUUCUCGUCUAAUUCCAGCUUUAAGUUGUUAAGUAUUAUGUGCCCAUCUUCCUCCUCCUUCCCAAUAAUUUCUCAUCUAAUUACAGCGUUGCCCGAUUGGCUUCCGCAAUAUUUGGAAGGGGUUUUAUUUAAUCAGACUUCCCCAUCCCCCUUCCUUAAAUCCAACACGCCCGCCUCAUUCCUCUUUGUAUUCCCAACUCCCGUUCCCAAACUACUCCAUCGAAGAUCCCAACUCUUAUCUUAAAAAAAAAGAAAAGAAAAAAAGAGCAGCCAUAUUCUCUUCCUCCGCCUCCGCCUCCGCCUGGAAAGAUAAUAAAAAAACUACAUCGAGGGAGUGCAACAAGAAGGAGGACUUUGUCUGGCCCAUUUUUUUUUUGGUCCAAUUGAUGCGUAUCCUUCUGAUCAGAAGGAAGCUGUGCAUGGGCGCUUUCUUUGUAGUUGAUAACGAACCCUUCGGCUAAGAAAACUGCUCUAUUCAUAUUUUAUUUUUAAAAGGAAAAGCAAAAGGUAAUUAUUCUCGCGUUCUGAAAUUAUUUCUGAUUUUCUCGUGGCAAAUAUGAUUUUGUUUGGCGUUCAUCUUUCUUUUUUUGCCGGAUUUCCCUAAUUAGAAUCAAAGGAAAAUCCUUCCUUCCUGAAUCCUGAUGCUUUUGGACCACUGGAGGAGAAAAAAAAAAGUGGAGGGCUGGUUAGGUCCGAGUCGUUUGCAGUCACGUUCCACCGUCUCUUCUUUGUCCAACAUUUGCACCGUCAUCCGUCAACUGUGAUAUCAUGAGCCCAAUAUUGUCGCGUUCUUUUCUCUCUUUUCUCCUUCCGAGUCAAAUAUAUAAGUUGUUUGACAUUGAAAGGUAUUUUCGAGGUUGCACCUGAUCCAAUUAAAGAUUUCGUAACCUUCUGAAUUAAAAAUGGGGUUCAUUCGGGCAGUUUUUUCUUGAUGUUGUCUCAUGGGAAUCAUGGCUUGUGUUCAUUUAUUUAAGUUUCCAUGAAAGCUGAAGGCCUGAAUCCUUGUAACAAAUUAAAUUAUAUUGACAUCCUGGACUAAAUGUCUUAAUUGAAUCUGGGCACAAAGUAAAAGAUUUCAAAGACAGCGACGGAACACAUGACCACCUUUUCAGUUCCACUUAUCUAUCCAGUGACAUUGCUGGCAGUCUUUGAUUCGUCUGGCCAUUUCUGAAUCGUGCCUAUACAUGGUUGAAAUAUGACGAGUACAAUUGACCAGGGACUACAGUCAUCAUUUCUGCACUCUGUCACGUUACGAUUCUAUUGAGUAGAAUGAUUAACUCUCAAAUGCUGUUUUCCCUGCAGGUUUUCUUGAUCUCGGAAGCAUCUAUCGAAACUUUCUUCCAUUUUUUUAUCCAUUUGGAUUUUUUUUUGCUGUAGUUACUACCCAGUUGGAAUCAAGAUGGUGGAGGGGGGUGUUACUGCUGUGAGCAGAACAGAGCUCACGGAAUUCUGGCGGACGAUAUGGAGAACGCCUUAUAUUAUGCGCCUUGCCUUAUCAGCUGGAAUUGGAGGGCUUCUGUUUGGCUAUGACACUGGUAAGUAGACCUCGCUCCUUACUAAUUUCGAACGAUCACUUCAUCAUUUGUACGGUCUGAUAAUGAUGAAAUGCUGCUGCUGCUGAAUGCAUCAAUGAAGCAAAAAUAUUUCUUUGCAUUCAAGCUCUUACUUUUGCAGCUUUAGCUCGUCAAUCAAUCCAUCCGGGGAGGGGCCAGAAUGUAGAACAGUGCAUGAGCUUCAAAUUAUCAAAAGUAGUAGUUGAUCAAAUAGUAGUACGCGUUCUGUUCAAGUUUAUUGAAAUCGUUGUUUUGAUGCAGGUGUUAUUUCUGGUGCCUUGCUCUACAUCCGGGAUGACUUUGAUUCCGUUAAAAACAACACAUUUCUGCGAGUAAGUUACUUGCAAAUGCCUUUUGUUUGCACGAUGAAACGACUGGUUAAUUAAUAUCAGACAAGAUGGUUUAUUAUGAUACUUUCUCUGUCACGUGAAGGAAACUAUUGUUAGCAUGGCAGUAGCAGGAGCUGUGAUUGGUGCUGCAUUUGGUGGUUGGCUCAAUGACAAGUGUGGUCGGAAGAAAUCAAUUCUUUUAGCUGAUAUGCUGUUCGUUGCAGGUGCCAUACUUAUGGCUGCUGCUCCUGGUCCCUGGAUGAUCAUUAUUGGGAGAAUAUUUGUGGGAUUGGGAGUUGGAAUGGCGUCCAUGACAGCACCUCUCUAUAUUUCGGAAGCUUCUCCUGCUAGAGUUAGAGGUGCGUUAGUUAGUACCAAUGGUUUGCUGAUUACCGGAGGAGCUUUUCUGUCUUAUGUGAUCAACUAUGCAUUCACCAAGGUAUAAGAUAAGAUUGAAUCCCCAAAGCAACGUUCUUGAAACAUAACAUACUACCGGUACAAGUUUCCUCUAAAACAGGAAAAAAAAAAAAUAGGAGUGAAGAAGUUCUGACUUGUAUUUAUUUCAUGUGCCCUAGACGCCUGGGACGUGGCGUUGGAUGCUUGGAGUAGCAGGUUUUCCGGCUCUGAUCCAAUUUCUUUUGAUGCUUUGGCUUCCUGAGUCUCCUAGAUGGCUCUAUAUGGAGGUAAAUACAUAUGUAGUGGUAGUACUGCGAAUUUUCUGUUGUGGUGUGGUGUGGUGUUUCAAUAAUACCAAUUCUCGGUUAAUUUUCAUCAAAGUUUGAUGUUGGCGACCUUGAAUUCUGUUGAUUAGAAUAAAACGGACGAAGCUAGGAAGAUUCUGGAGAAGAUUUAUCCUGCCGAGGAAGUUGAGGAAGAAGUCCAGGCCUUAAAAGCCUCCAUCGAAGCUGAGAAAGCUCAGGAAGGGCCUGUAAAUGAAAACUUUUUCGCGAAGCUUAAAGCGGCCUGGGGUAAUGUAGUGGUCCGGAGGGGACUGUAUGCCGGAAUCACCGUCCAAGUAGCUCAACAGUUUGUUGGUAUCAACACCGUUAUGUACUAUAGUCCUACCAUAGUACAAUUUGCGGGAUUUGCUUCAAAUUCGACCGCUUUGGCACUAUCUCUGAUUACCUCUGGGCUUAAUGUUGUGGGUACCAUCAUCAGUAUGCUUUUUGUUGACAGAUAUGGCAGGAGGAGAUUGAUGAUAGUCUCCAUGUUUGGGAUCAUAGUUUGUCUGGUGGUGUUGUCCGUCAUGUUUUUUGAAGCUGCCUCUCAUGCCCCACGAGUCAGUCACUCUGAAUCCUUCAAUUUUAGCGUCAAUUCUACCUGUCCCAGCUUCGUCCAAGCCUCAAAUCCUGCAUCUUGGAAUUGCAUGACAUGCUUGAACGCAUCUCCUAAGUGUGCCUUUUGUUCUAAUGGAGCUAGCCAAGUGAGUUUUAAUUUUACAUGCUCUUAUUAAACGCUGUUCUUUCGAGGUUUCCACGAAUCUGUGAUUGAUACUUUUAUUAUUAUUAUUUUUUUUUUCAGUAAAUUGAUUGAUGAUUCGUUUGAAUAUGUGAUUCUUUCAUCAGUAUCAACCUGGGGCAUGCUUAGUGGUGGACGAUGCUCUGAAGGCUAAAUGCCACAGCGAACAUCAUCGCGUAUGGUUCACCGAAGGCUGUCCGAGCAAAUUCGGAAUUUUCACCGUCCUGCUCCUAGGAUUGUACAUCAUUUCGUACGCUCCUGGGAUGGGGACUGCACCUUGGAUCGUGAACUCUGAGAUAUAUCCAUUGAGAUACAGAGGGUUAGGCGGUGGAACUGCGGCAGUCUCCAACUGGGUAGCUAAUCUGAUUGUCAGCGAGACAUUCUUGACGCUGACAGAGGCACUUGGGUCUGCCGGCACUUUCCUUUUGUUUGCUGGAUUCUCCUUUCUUGGACUGGUGGCCAUUUUCUUCGUCGUACCUGAAACCAAAGGUUUGCAAUUGGAGGAGAUUGAGAGCGUGCUCCAAGAGGGUUACAAGCCAACCUUGUUCUGCUGCAAGGGAAAAGCAGAGGAAAAGGACAGUGGCAGGUGAAUAUCCAAACCAGUGCUGCAGCUGCUGCGUAAAUAAAUUUUUUUAAAAAAAAAGGGUCUUGCCUGCCUAAGUUUAAUGUUGAUCAACUUUUUUUAAGUUUAAUUUCCAACUGCGCUUGGGCUUGUUUUAUUUAAUCAACUAGUUUUGGACCCGUUCGUUGAACGGGAAUCGUCGAAAAAUAAUAAACUAUUUAGUCAAUUUAUAAAAAUGUCGAUAUAAAAUACAUAUUUAAUGUAUAAUCUAUUAUAAUUUGUUUUAAAUAUAUUACUAUGAGCGCAUUAUAAUGUAAAGUAUUCUUAUAAUAUAAAUUUGAACAUCUAAUUCAGUGAAUAAUAAUUCAAAAAUAGAAAAAAUAAUAUUCAACAAUAUCAUAGCAUUCAAAAACUUGAAAAUAAAUAAAAAGUGCAGUAAAUAGUAUCAAAUAACAUUCUACUCUUCAUAAACUUAUUUUUGUUUUUUCUGUUUGAAUAUUUUUCUUGAUUUGUCCGUGCAAAUGAGUAUUUAUUGAUUUUCUAUUAUCACUGCAUGAUAGCAAAGUAGGAUAAUUAAGUAUAAAAAAAAUAAAUGAUUUAUCGCAUUCAAGGUUGUGUAUAACAAUACGUAAAGAUUAUAAUUAAGCAAACGGCCAGAGUCUUUUAAUUAACUAAUGAAUUUGCAGAUAUAUCUAAUAGAGAUAUUUAUGUCUCUUAUAUUUAUAUCGCAUUACUUUCUAGUGCCUUUUGUUUUUGGUUGUUUUUUCUGAAGGCAAAUUAACAAACAUCGUAGUAUAUGACCACAAAAAUCAAUUAACAAACAUGAUAGAAAAAAUCCUACAAAAAAUAACAAUGAAAGUACUUGUUUAAAUCCUAUGUCUUCAUACAAAACAAAUAGAAAAUAAAACAAAAAAAAAUAAAAUUCAAAAUAUGUUAGUAAGCUCUUACAAUUGAAGAUCAACAUGCCUUUUUAAAAUAUAUAUAUAUUGAAAGAAAAUUUACCUGAUAAUCAAGAGAAGUGGAAACUCAAAAUCGAUACUUUAAUAUGACAACCGUUUGCACUGGAAAUAUCUAAACAUGAAUUUGAUGCUUGAAAUCAAUAUAUUAGAGACUAUAUAUAGUGUAGGUAUAAGAAAUAAGAAUUGAUAAGAACAUUAAAAGUAUGUUUAUCUUAAUUUAAGUUGCUUAAAGUACGUAACUUUGGGUAGGAAAUAAGAAUCCUACAAUAUAAAGAAUUCUUAUAGGAAAUAAAAUCAUAAUCGUCCAAAUAAUUUUGGGUAGGAAAUAAGAUCUUAUGUGACCCAUACUAUGCACGUAUAUAAACCUGUACGUAAUAAAUUUACAAAUGCAUUAUCAAGAUAGAUUUUACCGACCUUAAAAGACCACCUCCACUAUAUCGAGUCCUUUAAGUGCAUGAACUCCUAUAAUGUGAGUCUACACACGAAAUACUCCUCACCAUCUGGGCAGAGAUGUAUUGUGAUUAAAAAAUUAUUAAUAUAAAUAUAUUUUAAAAAAAAGACGGGCGGAGAACACUACGGAUACUACGGACGGAGGUCUUUCUCUUGGAUUGGAGGACACUAAGGACGGAGGGUCGGGUAGGGGUCUUCGGGGUGCAAAACUUCAACAAAUAUCUAAUGUUUUAUCUCAUAUUUCUUUAGUUAUGAUAAUGGGAUUUUAUUUCUUUGGUUAAUGACACUCCAUUUCUUUAUGGACUUUUCCAGAAAUUUUCAAUCAGAUGAAGUGUCAUUUCUCUUUGUACAUCAAUUAUGCAUGGGAACUGUGAGUCUUAUAAAAAUUUUCUCGGGCUAACUUUCUUUAAUUUUCAUGUUUAGAUUAUUUGUAUGUUGUUCUAUAUAUGGAUAGAUUAUCUUAAAAUAAAAAGGAUCUAUAAUGAAGCUGUUAAAAAAAAGGACACUAUAAAAAAAUAUUAUCAUUUAUUCCUAUAUAUCUAAUAGAGGAGAUUUAUGUCUCUUUUAUUUAUAUCGCGUUACUUUCCAGUUUCUUUUUUGGGUAGAAAAUAAGAAUCAUAUAAUAUUAAAAAAUUUUAUAAAAAAUAAGAAUUGAUAUAUAUCAAAACAAAAAAAGAAACAAGUCAUGUAGAAAACAACUUGUCGUCUCAUUAAAUCAUAUAAGAAAGAGAAAAUAUAAAGGGAUAAGAACGAGCAUACGACUUUAUUAUAUAUAUAUAUAUAUAUAUAUAUAUGAUACGUUGGUUUUUGGCAAGUGAAGUACUUACUAUAUAUUAUUUGGCCAAAGAGGUGCUGGUAAACUUACAAAUACAACAAUUUCGGACUCGGACCAAUUUGCUUUGUUGAGACUUUUAUCCAUCGGAUAGCAAUUAAUCUCUACCGUCCGUCUAGGCUUUAUUUCCUUAAUUUUUUGGUCAGUUCAAUGAAUGGAUAAAUAUCGUGAUGGUGGUGGAGCGCGGAUGCCUCCACUUUUAUCAAAUCAUUAUUAUUAUUAUUUACUCCCAGGAGACAAGUACCCCCCCCCCCCCCCCCAAAACAAACACACACAAAAAAGAAAAUUUUUUGACAACAAAUACUAACACUUGUAGCAAUCAUCGUCGGCCUGAGUUGUGCUCGCCUCGCCGGAGAAGUCCUUUUUGUUUUUGUUUAAUACAACAAUUGAUAAAAUGAUGAUCCCAAAUUCUACUGACUUGGUGAGGAAACAGCAGCAUUUGUUUUACUUGAACCCAUAUUUUGUUUUAUUUUUGUCGGCAAAUAUGUCAUCUAAUAAUUCAACAAUUAUUCUCGACCUCUAAGCUAUGCCCCCAUCCCCCGGCCCCCAAAAAAAAAAAAAAAAUCCUUUUAAAGCACUCUUCUUUUCUCGUUUUAUGAAUGAUUGGUGCAAACUCAUUUAGACAUUUAGUGAAAUGGACUGCAAAACAACCCGACUUUAGUCGGCAUUCGAAUAUCUGAUUACAACUUCUCUUCUUUUCAUCAAACUCCACAAUAAAACAAACUACCAGUCAUUACAGCCCGACUUUAGCAGCGGUAACGAGGCUCACAAUCUUGAGUUAAAACUAUUGAUGAUGCAGAAAGUAAUCAUCACAAGCCAAAUACACACAGGACAAUUGUCUGAACUCAAGGGCACACGGACAAACUCCAGACGGACAAAAAAGAUUUGAGAGCCAUGGCAAAAGAAAAUUCAAACUGAGUAAAAUAUAUUAUUAUUAUUGAUGAGCGGACGACCCCUACUAUCCAAACACAUAUUUUUAGUUGCUCCGCCAGCUAAUAAGGACAACACAGUAGUACUAAUACUGAAGAACGAAGAAGAAUGAAUUCACCAAAACCAUAAAAAGUUGGUGGCCAGCGCCAGCCAGCUUUCUUACUUUCCAUAGGAGGAGGCUAUAUACAGCGCAAGUAUGCAAAUGCAGCGCCCCCCCCCCCACCCCCGCCCGGGGGGGUUCCAUUUGAACUCAAACUUACUUUACAACAAGCACACUAGCAAGUUAAAAGGGACCCUACUCAACUUUUCAUCAUUUUUCAUCCUCUGCGUUGUCGCUUCAAAAUCAAAAACUGCCCCCCUCUGCCCCUCACCCUUUUCUCUCCCAACAAGUUAAAAAGCAAGAAUUAGACAUCGAGACACAUAACAUGUACCCUAAAAGUAAAAACCACCUACUAGCCUCGUGAACAUUUCCAGUCCAAUAAUAACCAAGAGGGUAUAAAAAAAAAAAACACCAUCCUUUUUACUUUUCACUGUUUUUCUAGUAAGAUCACAAACCAUCUUUGAUUUGCCAACCAUGGCGGCAACAGGGUCCGAGAUACCAAGUAUGCUAGAACAUUUUUAAGUUCUUCAAUGGAGAAACUGAAAGGAAGAAUGAGAAGAAAAGGCAGUUGUGUCCUCGUAUUGGAGUAGCAGCCCCCACUAAUAAAAGAUGCCAGACAUCAAUCAGUAAAAACAUGUGUGAAAGUGAAAGAGGACCCAAAACAAUAAUAUGAUUUUAAGUGGGGAGAGGGGGAGGAGGAGGCUGAGCAAGCAAAGUGGAGCAAGAAUGAGCUGCCUGCAUAGUUCCAUAUCAGCUAGUGGGGGCCUUUUUGACUUUGAGAACCACCAAACAGGCGCAACCAAGGUGACUAAUAUGCGAGAGAGAAUCACCAAUAGUCUAGCAUGAUUAGUCAAGAAGAAAAUCACCAAUAACGCUCCGCAUGUUCAUAGGAAUCAGAUAAUCACUUGUUAUCAGUUUCAACGAAUUUGGACAUCCAAAAACAAGCUACAGGAUUACAAUCCAAAUCCUUAGCAAACAAAACCAAAACCAGGCAACCAAAAUCUCACCCACAACGCCGUACAAUAGAAGUGUUAAUGAAGGAGGGAUGUAAACCCUCAAAAAGACCUACCCGAUAAUAAUUAAUAAUAAUAAUGCUUCUAAAAGUCAGCUCUUCAUACUAUUUCCUAGCAGUCUAUAUUUUCCCCACUCAAUAGUAGAAUCCCAAACUCUGCAUCACUCUGUACAAACUAUCAGAAACCUUCCUUCCUAUAUACAGCCAAAAACAAACCACAGCAAGCGCUGAUAGUUUGAUAUGAAGGCAACCAAUCAAAUACCUUCUACGGGGUUGAAGGAGAAGCCUCUUGUCUUGGUUCUCUCAAGUACUCCAGAAGCCUUUCAGCCUGCCAAAGAGGAUGAAAAUGGCGUCAAGGUUCGGCAUUUCAUGUGUCAAGAAAUAGAGAGUCUAAUUGAACAUAUAAAGGCAACAUAUCACUCUAAUCCUUUCCAUAGGCAGCAGGACGGGGAUGGGGAAAAUCAUGGCAAAGCAAAUUUUAAAUAGCCCACAGGGCAUUCAUAACCUCGUAAACAAAAAUCAAUACUCGGUACAAAUACCCAGAAAACAAUAAAUUCAACGAUCAAUGAACGAUACCCUGUAAAAUCUCAGCACUAUAUACCUUAACGAUCAAUGAACGAUAAAUUCAACGAUCAAUGAGCGGUACCCUGUAAAAUCUCAGCAUUAUAUAUCUUAACUAGAGGCUUCAAACUUGAUUCGAACCAACUUGUUAAGAUACUCUACCAAUUACGGGCGUCCAAAUAGUUCAGUAAGUAUGCUGGAUCAAUACGUUCAGAUAAAAAGUCAAACAAAUUAAGUUCAAGAUUUCCGCAACAACAAAUUCUCAAAAUUGCAGGUGAAGGAACAUUGGCUUGUUAUCACCUGUCAUUCGAUCUAACGCCCUAAACAGAAUGCUGCAGAAAGAUAUCUAACUACGUGAAACUAGCUUAAUUUGAUCGCAAACACAAGAAAUAGCCGAGAAACGGAAGCUUCAAUCAAUCACAGAGAAGAUCAAAACCUCACCUUGUGCUUAGCCUUAGCAGUCCCAGUCUGAGACAGCGCCACAAGGGGAGGGAUCCCCCCUUCCCUAACCAACAACCCUCUGUUCCGAACACUAUCCCCACAAAGCUGCAAUAAUGUCAACACCGCGAAUUCCUUCCCCUUAUCAGAGCCAUCUUCAAUAGCCUCCACAAAGGCAGCAAUCCCACCUUCCUCCACAAUUGCAUCGCGGCCCAUUUGAAUCCCGGCUAAGCUACUCAGCACCACCAUCGCCUUCUCUGCCAACCCUGUCCCUUGCUCUCCGACCAAACCCACCAGCGGCCUCACCGCGCCGGCAGUCACCGCCCUCUCCUUGUUCAGUUUGACCGAGCAAAGCUUGUAGAGAGUUGUCAAAGCAUCUUUCUUCCCUCUGUUCGACCCAUUUAUCAACAAGGCCACUAGCGGAGGAAUAGCCCCGCAUGCGCCUAUUGACAAUUUAUUACUCUCGUCGACUAAAGCUAAAUUCAGCAGGGCGCAGGCAGCGUUCUGUUUCGAGAUCUCGGUGCCGGUUUUCAACACAUAAACGAGUGAUUUUACAGCUCCAGCGUCAGCUAUCAGAGCUUUGUUAUCUUGAUGGAGGGAAAGAUUCAACAAGGCCGUGACGGCGUGCUCCUGCGUCAGGGGGUCUGAGCACCGGAGCAGCGGUAUCAAGGCCGGGACAGCUCCAGCCUCGCCAAUGAGAGCCCGAUUAUCGGCCCUGUUCUUGGCCAGGAGCCUCAGUUUAGCUGCCGCCGACCUUCGAACUGCGACGGAGGAGGAAUUGAGUCCGUCUACGCAGAGUUUGACGGUGGGCUGAAGGUCUUCCGGCGAGAUGCUCUCGAUAAUCUCAGUGGAGAAGGUUUCCCUCUGGAGAAAGCCAGUGCAGGGUUCGGGCUCGUCCUGGGGCUGGAGCUCAGAGAUGGGGGCAGGAUCGGGGACGGUGGCGAGUCGGUGGAGCUCGCCGGAGAUGUCGCUGGAGCAGGCGGACAAGUCGCUGCCGAAGGAACGGGAAAUCAUGUCAAGGUAAGUAAAAUCCUCAGCUACGAACGGGGCGGCGGGAUCCCGAACCCCUCCGGCGGGGGUGUGGGAGGCAGUUUUGGUGGCGAGUUCGCCGAGACGGAGGUCGAUGAGGGCGGAGUCAGACAAAUUUUCGGAAACAUUGGUAGAAAUUUGGGGAAGGGAGAGAAGGGAAGGGUGGUCGGGGGAGGCGUCAUGGAUUUGGAAGAAAUUGGAGCGAAUAGUGCGCAUGGAACGGCCCAUGGAGCGGUGAAGUUUAGCAGAAGAAGAGAGGGGCGGGGGAGUGUAAUAGUAAUGGUGUUGUUGAGGCGUUUGAGGGAAGCGAGAGGUGGAAUUGGGAAUGGAGUGAGAGUAAGUAUGGGAAUGGGAAUCUUCUACGGACACCAUCCUAUCGCUAUAAUCCUAAUCCUAAUGCUUCUAAUCCUGAGGAGUGGAAGAAGAGUAGACUGCUGUGUUGUGUUUCCUCGUAUUACUGAUGGUUUGUUUCCUUGGAUGACCAACCAACAAAUACAAAUAUGCUUUCCACCUGAAAAUCUAGACUAAACAACCUUCAUAUACACACAUAGCAGAAAGAACUAACUAACUAACUAACUGCUUGGGGUGGUGGUGGCGGUGGUUGUGGUGAGUGGUGGUGGGUGGUGGUGGCGAGAUAAUUUCCAUAAUCCGGGAAAUUAUAUGCUUUGCUGGAGCCUCGGGACUGGAGUGGAGUGGAUGUGGAAUGAAGAGUCAGUCAUCCGUGUGAGUGGCGUGUUUGGCUCGUACUGUGGUCGUAGCUAUAGUAAUAAUGGAGAAGACGACUAGCAAGAGGAUGAGGAGGGUAAAGUGAAUACUAUGAUGGGAGGGGGUUUGGCGAAUUAAAAAGGGAGGGUACCCCUUACCUUACCUUACCUUACAUAUGGAUGAAUUUGAGUGCUGAGAGUGAUGGAAGGUUCUGGUUUGGUCCAUUUGGUGGGCUCUGCUUGCUUGCAAAGGGUGGAUGGAAGGUUAUAUUUAUUAUAUUUGAUAAGUUCACGGCGCUGUGUUGUUAUAUUGGGCCUCACAAAGGAACAUACAGCUGGAAUGUGAUCCACUGCUGGGGGCCCCACUCUCAGAAGUGUGUGAGGCAAAGCUUCCCGGGGGUGGAAGAGAUCAGGUGACCCUAGCAAAUGCCAAUGAUGGUAACAGUGGAACGUCGGCGACAUGGAUACUAGGUGACGUCGUCGUUUCUUUGCUACCCCCUAGGCUACCACCGGCAGUAGUGGCCACUACUGCAGAGUUAACUGUUAAGUCGAAUCGACUUUAAGCAGUGCAUUUGCUGGAGUUCAUACUCUGAACUACUUUAUGCUAUUCGAGUUUGAUUGAAUCGAGUUCAAUCGAUUUUUCAAGUUUGAUUUUUGUAGUAAAUUUUAUAAUAAUGAAUAAUUAAAAUUAUAUUAUAAAUAUACCAUCUGAUAAGAUUUAAGGAGUGCACAAAUCGUGAUUUAACUUGCUAGAAAUCGAUUCAAUUGCUUUUUUAAACAAUUCAAACUCAACUCUAACUCCAAAUCCAACUAUGCAUAUGAUAUCGCGGUACAGUAGUAUUUCUUUUUUUUUUUUUAACAAAAUUUUGAUUCAAACGGCUUUUAGGCUUCAGAAUGAGAUAAACUCUUUCCCUCCUCAUAAUCUUUUCAUGCACCAAAAAUAUUAUUAUUAUGAUGUAUUAGAUAUAGAAGAAUAUCAGCACACAACACAGAACCAUAAACUAUUUUUAUAAAGAAAUGAAAAAGGAACGGAGCUCCCUCACUUGACUGUUCCUUGUGAAGCUCCGUGAAGACAAACAUAAAAAAAAUGAACCAAAAAAAAAAAAAAAAAAAAAAAGUACUCCUACUAGUAGUAAAAGGAUUGCAUACAAAAAAUGGGGCAAAAUCGUGACUUCAACUUGUUUGGAAAUUGUGGAAUUCCACGAGCAGUUUCUUUCUUGUAAAUGGUUUCUUGUUUAAAUUGCUAUGUUUUGAGGAAAAAAAAUUCAUUUUUCGUGAAUAAUCCUUUUAAUUAUCUUUUUUAACCUCACAUAUAUCGCAUUUUUUAAAAAAAUUGUUGCAAUAAUUUUUUUUCUAAAAAUUCUUUAAAAAAUGCAAUCCAAACAAUUUUAUUUCAAACUAGUGAUAUUUUUUUUUUCGACAGUCAGCAAUAGUCUACUCAUACUUCUACUCGAACAUAUUCUAAGGGGAGUCCAACUGGGUCAAUAGAUAACCAAUUUGAACCAAAUCACCAUCGGAUCGAACGAAUGCACUAUAUACCUGUAUGAAUUUUUUAGAGAAUCGCAUAAUGUAACAAUUAGUAGGAGGUAAGGAUUCACAAAGCCUCCCACCCCACCAAGCCUUAAGGACCUGGUGGAGGGCCGGUGGUCACAAACUAGUGAUAUCCGAAGGCUAAGAAAACGAAUAUUGAUUUGUGCACAUAAAUUCUGGUUGACAUGGAAUUGCUUCACAAGCAGAUAGAGACUAACGUCAGUCUCACUCCCUUACAAUUACUUGAGUGAAGAAUAAAUAAGUAGGAGUUCAUGCCAAUCUCCACCAUUCAUUUGAUUGCAAGCCAUAAUUCAAAAGAUACAUACAGAUUUUAGUCAGAGGUGAUCUGAGAUUAAUAUGAUAUAAAUAUAACUGUCAAAGGUUUCCCCUUUUUAAAAAUGAAAGAAAAAGAAAAAGUGUUACUCAUGGGUGUUAGGUACUGUUUAUCCACUUUGGUUAAUUACCAGGGAAAAUGAUGUGAUGCGAACUUGAUGCAGUGUAUCCUGAAAAAAAUAAGACAGUAAACCCAAAAAAAAAAAAAAAAAAAAAAAAGGAGGAGGAGAAUGAAGAAUGAAAACGUUUAUAAUUUGGUGAACAGAUUUUAUUUUUCCCGUUUUCUUUUCCGCUGAGCUGAUUUUUUCAACCUGAAGCCUGAAGGGGCCUGCAGGGGAUAAAGUGUUUAAAGGAAUAAACUUUUUCCCUUUUUUUCAUUUUUCUCGAUUCUUUUGGGUUGCGGGAGAGAGUGACAGCGGAAGCAGAUUCGCAUGGAGGGUGCCGCUACGACAAGAGGCCACUUGGUAGGAGGAGAGUAGCGUUUGGGAAGUGGUUCACAACUGUCAACUGGGACGGGUGGUGUUAAUAAAUGCCUAAUCCCUUCCUGUUCUUAAACUUUCCUCCAGGUUAGAGUCUGGAGAUUGGUCGGUUUGUGGUGAAGUUGUUCGUUGGAUCCUCAUCGGACGGUGUCAGGGGCUUUGAAAAUUGAUCCCCCAGUCAACUACUAAAGCAUUUUGCGCCAUGCAGCAGCUCGCUGGCUGUUGACAGAGGCUGACCAAAUAGGGUCCGGUUCUUCCCAAGUAAAAUUUAGUUGAAGUCAGUCGAAUUCAAUUUGGAGUAAAAAAAAAAAAUUUUGUUAUUUUCAUUCCAUUUUUUUUUAAAUUAUCUACGCUCAUAUCAUUUAUUUUAUUAGAUAGUUCGACAAAUAAAUAUUAUAUGAUUAAAAUAAUAGUAAAAAGAAGCCAAAUGUUCACCAAUUAGGCUGGCUAUCAAUCGCUGAUAUAGCCCAAUUUGCGUAGCCAUGUUCUGCAAGUAUUUGGCAUUGUACAAGUAGAGUUUGUUUUUGAUUUCGGCACGCUUUUAUCUUGUAUUAAUGCUGAUUUCUUGGAGAUAGGUAGCAGAUUAGUUAACUCACAUGAUAAUAGGUUCUGAUCUAUUAAUAUCCCCAUCCAAACCAAGCAAUCGGUUCAAGUGAUUACCUGGUACGAGAGGCUCGAUAUGUCAAAUUGGGUAAGCAAUUUACUUGGAAAAAAUGAUGGCAUCGGUUAAUACAGCGCAGUUGCAUGGACCCAUUUUAAGGCAUUAACCGUUCCCCGUAACACGUCCUCGCUGGCUGGAGAGGCCGGCGCCUCCAUCACCUACUACUUCCGGCCGGCUACUAUAUCUCAAAUCAAGAAAUCAAAAGCAGAUAUGCUGCUCUUUUCAAGAUUUUGUUACCCCUUUCUAAUUAAUUAGUCUCUUUCCAGCUUCUUCUGGGUUUAUUUUGGUUCUUGGUUUGAAAUUUUCUUCCCUUCCUUUUUUUCCUUUUGUCUGGUGGUUUGCUUCUGUCUGCAAUCUUCUAGUAGCUUUUUUUCUAGCCAAUUUUCUAUUUAUGGUCAACGAUGCCGGAGCAGCACGAUGUAACGUUGCGGCGUUCAAUUUGUCAUGAUCAAAUUCUGGUGUUGAUGUUAUAAAUUUCCACAGUACGGAUCAAAAUUCCUCUUCUUUUGGUUUUGGAAGAGAAACCAACGCAGAAGGUUUGUAGUUUCAACUUUCAAAGUCUCGAAGAAAUCCAUCUCAUUAAUUUUCUGGGCAAGGUCCACUCAUGGUCAUGGGCGGGCAUUUGUUUUACCGGGCGGCAGGCAGGCAGAGGCUUAGCUAGCUACCGUGAAUUUAUUUAUCUCUCUUUUGAUUUUUUAUUUUUCGGAAGGGAGCUACCAUGCAUGAAAUAUGGAUGUACUGAGCGAUGGAUAUAAUUGAAAAAUAAAUAUUAAAAAAAAAAUCUCAGUGGUAGCCACUAUUGCAUAUUAUGAAUAUUUAUGCGCAACGGAUAUUCUGUCCCAUAUUCUGUGCCACUCUCUAUCCCACUUUUUAUUAUAUUGUUAUUUUUCCUACAUAAACAUCAUGUUUUAAUUUUUUUUUGUUUUCUUAAGAUUCAAUAACUAUUAAUUGACAAAUAAACAUCAUGUUUUAGUUGUUUUCUUAAAAAGUGGGACAGAUAGUCCUCGCGAUAUUUAUGAUGCCACAUUAGAGAUUCAGAAUGGUCAUAUUUAGGCAACAAUUAGUGCUAGCUAGCAACACAUAUUACAAAAUCCCAAAAUUUGCUACCUAUAACUACUGCCGAUUGCUUGUCGCCAACUAAUAAGUAUUAGCCAAACCAAAACAGCUUAAAAAUGUCAAAAUAGUUGCAGUCCAGUAGUAUUAAUUUGGCAAACGUGGAAAUUUUCUGAUGCCAUGUUGUCCUUGCAUGAUACACAGCAUGCUUAGUUGUUUACCAACUUUGUAGAGGACCGGCACGUCCCCCCCCCCCCCCCCUCUUUAUCUAUCUAUUAUAAGUAGUAUUUUUCUUGAAAAAUUUUACUGUAAUAAUGUAUAUGAAAAAAUUGUACUAUAAAAAUUAUUUGAAAAUUUUAAUGUAUUAUAUUGAUGAGAAACACCAUAAAGUUGAAAUUCACGUUCUUAAUGACCAUUGUGAUUAAAUGGCAUGGGGGCAAAAAGAAAUCUUAAAUAAGCUGACGGGGCGGGGAAUGGGAGGUCCUCGCAAUCAAAAUGUAGGGUAGGACAAAAAAAUAUGAUAAAUGUUCAGUUCAACAAAAUUGCGAGAAAAGGAAGAUGAACAACCCAAUUCUCAAUAACGAAACAUAUUAUUUCUAGUCAUUGCAGUAGCGUGUAGAUCAUUGCAAUAGCUUUCCGACACACGCAUUAAGGAUGUGGAUUAAAGCACUUGUAAAGUAGUAGUACAAAGUAAGUUGGGGUUAACCUUUAAAAGUUGGAGUGACGAGGUUUCUGAGUUAUAGUAAAUUAUUUCCUGCAAAAAGUACACUCAUUCUUUCUAUGAUGUAUUAAUUCUUUGGGGUGACCACACCAGCCACUAUCAGCUGCAAGUUGCUGCUGCUGCUAAUGAUGCAGUAUGUGUCAUGGUCAAAUCUUUUGGAGUGUCCAGAGUAUAAAUAAUCGUCACUUUUGUCAUCCAAUAUUGACGUGUGCAAUUAAUGAUGAAGAGGAAGGACAUCCUGUCCUCCGUCCAAUGGUCUGGUGUAAACUUCGCUUCCUGUAUUAAUGCUUCUUAAUGUAGUACAGUAGUUGAUUUGAUUAUAUUCCUUGAACCUGAACAGACGCAGGUCAUAACAGGAAGUUGUGUGCAAGAAACAAUAAUAAGAUGCUAAAAGAAACUUUUUUUUUUUUUUUUUUUUAAGAUAUCUUCUCCUGUUGCCUGAAAACCAAUUAAGGAAAAAAAAAAAAAAAAUUCCCGCCACCAAUUAGAAGUAAUUUGGUGGUCGCCAAGGCACAUGCGACUACUGUCCCUUCCUAAAAUAGUUAGAAAUACACAAUUUUUUUGGUCCAACCCAAAUUCAAAUUGGAGUAAAUUUUUUUUGGUUAGUCUGCGCGGUUUUUAGGGUCUGCGUACAAGUUGACGUUUUCUUGUUCUCAAUGACAGAGAAUUAAUUUUCUCAUGUCAAAAACAAACCCCAUAUGUGAUGCGAUUUGUUGCUUGUAGACGUUACCCAUUAUUCGCAGUUGACUUAUUUGUAUCGUUAAAAACAGGAGGGUUCAUCUAGAAAGGGGUUUAAGUGGUUGACCAAUCAGACGUUCUUCUUCUUCUAUGUAUAUAUAUAUAUAUAUAUUGAGUCAACUAAUCCAAUUAUUAUUGCUGCUUAAUACAUGAUGAAUACAAAUACAUAGCAGACCAGACCUACUUGGCAUGGUGGAUUGCGUCUGAUUGUGGUCCAAAAGUACUUCAACAACAAUGCCUUAUAGAAGGUGGUGUUCGAGCGACUCCAACCAUAAUAUAUACUCCCUAUAAACAAACUAGGCGUGUUGAAUUAGUAAUUUUGUCAUUCUGACACUUAUGAUUAGUACUAAUCAGACCCAAGUUGCCGUACGGAUCCUCUAGCUAAACAAGCUAUUGGUACAAACAAAGAAAAAGCAAUCGUGUCGUGGCAUAUCCUCCGCCAAAAAAAAAAAAAGAAAAGUAUCUGACCCACCCCAGAAUCUCCAAGCAAAAGUUGUUAAACUCAUGCAAGCGCCGAUUCCUUGCUUUCGUUCAUCCUUGGAUACCAGAAGUGGGGGCAGCAACUGCAAGGGGAAGGAAUAUUGGCAUUGUGCCUUGCUCAAAGGCAGAAGUCUUUUCCUUGAAGCCUCUUUCAUUCUUUUUUUGGUCCAAAACGAAGCUUCUUCUUUCAUUCAUUAGUAGCAGCAAUUAUAUAUAUAUAUAUAUGUAUAUUUUUUCCUUUCCCUCCUCCUCUUGCAACUUAAAGAAUUUCUUGACAGAACCAGGGAUUAUCACCACCAAAGAAGAGAUUAAAGAACCAUUUUUCCUUCUCUGAUAAUUUAGAGAUUUUUGCUUCAAGGAGUGAACAACCGUUUAGAAAAAAAGUAUGAAAGAGACGCAACAUAUUAUUGCGUGCGUCAUCUUUGCUAGGGGCUGGCUAAGGCUAACAAAAUUUAAUAUGGCCCAUUCGUUGAACCUUGCAAAUUUAUUCCAACCACUCCUCUGCUCUGCCUGCGGUGAGGCGGCAAUCGUCAAAGCAAAGCAUUGGGUCCAUCCAUUGAGGGAAAAGAAGGAAAGGAAAGAAGAAAAAAAGCAUUGGGUGUACAAUGGCGGCAGGGUAGUGCGGGUCCACCAGUCCAUGCCACGUGCCCAAAAUUGGCUGCUGGCGGUGAUUAAUUUUGAUGGGCCAGAACCUGACAGAUGGGUUAGUUUCUCCAUCGUUAUUUGUUUCUCUUAUGAGAUAUGGACUUGUUGUGAUUUGAAACUCUAUUCGAGCUCAGUCCUGGAAACCUUCUAGAUGUGGGCGGUUUGUGCUGCGGGCGGCCUAUUAGAGUCUCCAAUUGGCCCGUUUUUGACAUGCUGCAAGUGAUUUAAAGAGUGGAUACAGUUAAAUAAUGCAAGGCUCUGGUGAUUAUUUGCCGCGUAUAAAUUUUGAAGAAACACCACGCAGCAUUUCUGACUUCCUAAGCUAAGCCGCCACCGUUCUGUCACUUUCUUGACCAUCUUUUUGGUGGCUUGCAGUUGCAGCUAGUUCUCGUCCGACAGACGUCAGAUUGCGCUGCUUGCAGGAAUAACAAGAAGGUAAAGUAGCAGAGGGCACUAAUUACUAAAUAUAACGGAACAAAUUAAGGCCUAACUCAAGAGACCCAACCUGAAAUCAACAUUUUCUAAACACACAGUACUGAUUUUUUAGUUUUCAAAUUCAAGUCCAAAUCCACCACGGCGGCGCCUUGAGGUUGUGUACGCCACGGUGAAUUGCAAGUAGAAUAAUGAGAAGUUAAACAACAUAAAAAAAAAAAAAAGGUUCUAGGCUCUCAGGAAAUCCAUUUAUAUGCCCCUUUUUGCUGAUUUGUUCUAGGCUACUAAAAGCCUCCCUUCCCAAUUCCCAUCAUCAUAUGUGGGGUGGGCCAAGUGUAACAACAUGGAUCAAGGAGCUAUAUAUAUUUAUACAGAUUCGUUAUGUAAGUAAUAUCGUCGCAUCAUUAACAAGUCAAAAAAAAAAUAGAGUCCAAAUUUCUUCUUACUUAAUUUUACUGUUCGGUAACCCUGGUAAGGAGUAGGGCCUAGAGGCCAAGAGCAAAGCGACACCCUUAGUUGGGCCAAAACUCCCCCUGGAAACAUGCGCUGGUGGGAGAUGGUAUUUUGGGCCAAAACUCAACCCAAGGAAAUUUUUUUUAAUUAUUUUUAAAAAAAGGGAUUUGUGAAGGUUGAAUCUCGGAAUUGCUUCAAUAUAGUUGUAGACAUAUAUAUAGGCAGCCUAGGUUGGUUCUUACGAAGUAAAAUCUCUCAGUUUAUGCCCCCAUGGGCCCCAUCCAGAGGCAGCCAUGGUUUGGUUUGACCAGGCUGGGCGGGUCAUAUGGGUGUUGCAGCAGAACUCUAUCAUCUCAUGAAACCUAAUCCAAUUUACUACUACAAUCCUACAUCUGACGAUAGUCUUACGAAAGAGUUGUUACUACUAGUUCAUCUGUUAGUGGGUCAAGAUUCACCCGAGUCAAACUGCAAAGUGUGGUGGUUAGGACUGUUGGGAAUAAGGCAAUCCAUGUAAAACUGUUCUCCCUACUUCUUUUACAGUUGCAGUUCUUCUUCCGCAACAAUUAUUACUUGGUUUGACCUUCAAUUCUCCCCAAGCAUUAGGCAACGAUCAUUAUAUAUAUGUUGAGAAAAUGUGCAAGUCUUCUUAAAAAAAAAAAGAGGUGUGCAAAUACAGAGGGAAAUGUUGAGAAAAAAAAGGUUUCCUCAUGCAAAUCUCAUUCUGCUCUGCAGAAAGAAGCAUAAGUUCUGUGUUUUGCCCAGUGUUUUUCCAAGUCCUACAAGAAUUUCAUUUCCAGGUGGUUACCUAAAUCUCUAACCAAAAGGAGUCUUAAUUCCAUUCCCAAUCUUAGAGUGAUUCGGUGCGGAAGAAAAAUAAAAUAAAAUAAACGUUACCAUAAUCUGAAUGAAGAAGGUUAUUCUAAAACGACUAAAAAUUGGUAGUAUUUCCUUUUCCAACACGGUCACAGAAAUUGGCGCUCCAUAGUCUAUAUAUAAGAGGCCAUCCAGCCCUCUUCGACAUUAAGAUUACAGCUAUCGAGCCCCCUGCACUUUAGAAGUUUUCAUUCAGGUAAUCUCUCUAUUCUUCGAAUCUUCAAUCUUCAUGCGCCUUGCCUUGCUUCCCAGUUUGGAUUUUAUCAAUUCUACGAGAAGCCUCAUUAGUAUAAUGUAGCAGGAAGUUGUUUAUAGUACGAUUGUAGUUGAAGUUAGAGAUAUUAAGGGUUGAAAAAAAAAGGGCAGUUUGUUGAAACAUAAAUCGAAGUAUACUUGUUGAAGUACAUAUAAUAUGAAUGACUUCUGAUGAUCUUUGACAGGUGCCCCAUCUCCAACAAAACUUGGAACCAUGUUUCCUUUUCAAUUGCAAACCCCUCACCAAACUACCUAACUACUCUUGCCCCACCAGUCUCCUAUAUUAAGACUCCCUCUUCCAAGUCUUUCCCUUCAAUCUUCCCUUCUCUCCAACGCAAGCACUAGUUAUAUUUCUCGCACCAAUUAUCUUUCUGAUCAACAGGCUAAUUGACAAAGAUGGGUGCAACAAUGAGAUGCAUGGUGAUUCUUGGCGUCCUGUUUGCUCUGUUUAUGUCGUCCACUUCUGCGCAGUCAUGUUCAAAGUACAACUUUGCUAGCAAUAAAGUUUUCAGUGCCUGCAGCGAUCUUCCAUAUUUGAACUCCUAUCUUCAUUGGACGUACAGCCCAUCUUCCCAGAGUCUUGAGAUCGCGUUUAGGCGCUUGGGAACAUCAUCAUCAAGAUGGGUUUCUUGGGCUAUUAAUCCAACUUCUCAAGGGAUGGUGGGAUCACAAGCACUCGUGGCUUUCCAGAAAUCUGAUGGAACCAUGAGAGCCUACACUUCGCCUAUAAAAAGUUACCAGACGGGAUUACAAGAAGGAGAUUUGAGCUUCCCAGUUUCGGAUUUAUCUGCUACUUAUUCGAAUAACGAGAUGAUCGUUUAUGCUACCUUGAAGCUGCAGAAUUCCAGCUCUACUCUGAACCAGGUGUGGCAAGAAGGUCCACUCUCAAACGACAGCCCUGGAAUGCAUCCCACCACUGGUCCUAAUGUCCAAUCCAUGGGCACUCUCAACCUACUUUCUGGAGAAUCUAAGACCACAGCAGGAGCCUCAAGUUCAAAACUCAAGGCUAAGAAUGCAAGUCUUUGAAUCGUUUUUCCCUUUCUUUCUUGAGUUCGUGAUUAUAUAUCUUUACUUUCCCCCCAAAAAAAAAAUAUAAAGACUUGUAGAUAGAUAGACAUUCCUUGAAUCUAUUUAACAUGUUAUUUGUAAAGAAAAAGUUAAUCAUGAUAUUGCUGACCCAAUCCGCUUUUUGAUAUGUUUCAGAUUCAUGGGGUGCUGAACGCGGUGAGUUGGGGAAUUCUGAUGCCUCUGGGGGCUAUAAUCGCAAGAUACGUUAAGGAAUUUCCUUUGGCGGACCCUGCUUGGUUUUACCUUCAUGUUACCUGCCAAUUAUCGGCCUUCAUCCUUGGCGUGGCCGGAUUUGGUACUGGGCUCCGCCUGGGGAGCCAGUCUCCAGGAAUCACGUACGCAGUCCACAGGGGCCUUGGCAUUGCUCUCUUUACCCUGGCAUUGGUUCAGGCGAGUGCUUUGCUUAUAAGGCCGAAGAAGGAUCACAAGUGGAGAAGCUACUGGAAUUGCUACCACUACCUGGUCGGAUACGGAAUUCUCGGCAUCAGCAUCGCCAACAUUUUCAAAGGAUUGGAUAUCCUGAGCCCGGAGAAGAAAUGGAAAAGAGCAUACAUUGGCAUCUUGGUGACCCUGGCAUCUCUUGCCCUUCUCUUGGAAGUAAUUGUAUGGUUCCUGAAGAGGAGCAAGAGAUCUGCAGGUGCUGACAAGUUGAAGUCGUCCCACGGCACCAAUGGGACAAAUGGACUAAAUGGCUAUGGAGGAAGGAAGCCUGAGACAGUCUAGUUUACCAACUUGAGAUUUAUUCCUCCCUAUACAACUCUUUUCAUUUAGUGUUUUCCUUUUCGGUCGUACCUAUUUAUGCACCCGCAUGUAUAUUUUCCAACUCGACGGCAGAGGUUUUAAGAUGAGUUUAUGAUUUAGUAGUAGUAGAAUUUUAGAACUCCACGCCGAUAUGUAGGUACUAUUGUUUCUUGAAUGGCAUCUGCGGAUUUAUUAUUUUUUUUUCCCAUGAUUAAAAUCUCUUAUCUAUAUGUGUCUUUUUUCCAUAGUCUUAUUUCUGAUCAAUAGGUGUCUGUACUCUGUAGAAAAAGCAAUUGGUGUAUGAUGACACACAUCAUUAUUUGCAGAGACCUAGAAAUAUUGACAGACAGACAGCAAAUACUUUAUUUGUCCCAGUCAAUUCGUCCACUUCCUGCAACAUGUGCUGAUAUCAAUAAUUUAAUUAUCAUAUUCUCAACCAUCCAUGAAAAAAAGCUAACUUUUUAUGUUGAUUACUUUGCCCUAAUUAUGCAACCAAUGCUAAAAUCAAGUAUCUUACGUUUUCUUGGAAAAAAAAAAUGCCCACAAGAGUUUCCAAGAAACAAACUACAGUAGCGCAAAGAUGCACAUUCCGCGGCAUGGCUAUAAAAACAGCAAAGCGCAGAGAGGAGAGGCAGAAAAUACUCAAACAUAGAACUAGCAAUUUCUUAAGAGCCAUAAGCUUCAGAUAUCAAGAAAAAGCAUUUUUAGGAGCUCCAUCCAAUGUAGGGUGAACUUGGAACUAAGGUAGUCAUAUCAAUUGGACACUACAGCGCAUUUGGUGCAGCUAAUAUUUUGCAACUCAGUAAAACUGACUAGGCCAUUUUCCAGCUAAUUAGAGUGCCUCUAAAGCCUUUGACGUGAACUGAAUAGAUGAAUAAUCUGUAAUUCUUCAUAAUAUAUAAGAAGGUGACUGUUACGGAACUGUUGUGGUAGCUCUCUGAGUUACCACGUUUCUCUCAUUUGGAUUGCUGCAAUGCCUCAAUGAAGGCAUCCUUGAGAAGAGGAUUUGAAGCUGCUAUUCUUUGCGAGGUGAUAUCAAAAUCAGCACCAGACCUGCGGCAAAAGCAACAUGCAAUACUCAUAAAUAUCCUCUUAUCAUAUAUAUAAGUUAAAGCAAUUAUAAAAUUCAGUGCUAUAUCUACAGAUGCGACAUUUAGAGACUUGGCAUGUUUCAUUUUGGAACGACAUUCUGAACUCCAGAACCACUGGAUGAACAGCAUGCAGAUCCAAUUCUUUUAAUAGACCAGGAAGAUGUCAGAAGUUCGGAGGACUUACGGAUCAAACAGAACGCCUCCAGCUUCUUUAACAAUGAGAGCACCACCUGCCACAUCCCAAGGGCCUCCAUAUCCAAGUUCAUAAAAGAGAUCAAGCCUUCCACAUGCAAUACCACAGAGAUUUAAAGCACAGGAGCCACUCAUCCGAAGAGACCUCACCUGAUGUAUUGAGAAACAAGUAAUAUUAAUUAUGCAAUUUAAAAACUAUAUUUAAACUCCUGAUCCCAUUGCAAGGAUUUAUUUUACCUUGAACAGUAAACUGUUAAUUUUGUUGGUACAGGUGUCCACAGUUAGUUUAUCACGCUUUGUCCCAGCCUGCUUCCAGGAAUCAUUCAUUCAGUAGCUGGAAGCAAACUAAACAUCCACAAUUUAAGAUGAAUAAACUUUAUGCUAGUUUGUACUAUCUCAUAGAAUUCACACAUGAGAGAGAGAGUGAAGAAGGAUCAAAUGAAGUCAUCCACAAUCUGAUGCUGCUGGAUCAGAACCAAUGUCUCAAUGUUCCCAAAGGGCAAAGCUAUAGCGCUUUUUCGAGCUAGUUAUUCAAACAAGAAUGCUUAAUGCAAAUUUUAAAAGGGUAAAAGAAAUAGACAAGGCUCAUCAAAAACAUAAUCUGUUGCUGAAAAAAUGUCCAUGGUCUACAAGAACUUAAAUUAUUACCAAAAACUUCAUUCAAUGUUCUAUUUCUGCAUGCUUAUGAUACGUUCAUGUUGCUGAAGAAAGCUGGUGGUGUUCACAAGCAUAAAAUGAGGGAAGGCCUCAAUGUUGUAACCAGCAUACAUUCUUAAAAUGUGCUACAGCUGAUGGAUGAAGAGUUACCCAAUGGUUCCAUGAAAAAGAUACCAGUAUGUGUUUAGCUACGUAUAGCUGAAUACCUACCCCUGUAGCAAGAAGAGACUUCACGAGUUCAGACUGAGAAGACACUGCAUAUGAACAAAAGAAGUUACUGAGAGGUUUCAAGUUUGAAUAGCAUCAAAAUAUAGCACACUAAUUGCAGAACUAAACUUACCUUUUAUUGGUUUUCCAUUCAGAAAAGCUCCUUUCCCCUCUAUCCCAGUGAAAAGCUGCAAAGUAGAAGAAAGAGUUUUCUCAACUCAACCAGCAAUUUUUUUUUUAUUUAUUAUUAUUUUUUGGUGCCACAACUCAAUCAGCAUUUGUUGCUAUACAUCUAUUGGAUUUGCUAUUUGUGAGCAUGAUGAGCAUAAUUUUGGAAACCCACUAUCCACUGGAUAAAGGAACCCCAAUAGCAUGAAGGGAACAAGAAAACAGAAGCAUCGUGCUUAACAGGUUUGCAAGAUGGACUCAGGCAGACACUACAGAAAUUACUCAUGAAACAUUUCAAUUAUUUAAGACAGAUCCCUCUGGCUUUAUUUCUUAGCUUUCUACACAUGUACAUUUUCUCUAACAUUGAUAGUUCAAAUACCAAAACGAGUAGGUUUUUCGUAAUAAAAAACAGUGUCUCACCUCAUCUAUAAUGGGAUUGUAGACAACACCAACUGUUGGAACCUUUCCAAGUGUAAGACCAAUAGAAACGCACACAAAAGGGAACCUACGAGUCACCAUAUUAUCAAAGUAAAUUGCUUUAGUAACUUGCCAUAUAUCAGAAAGUCUGUCUCAAUAGCUAUGCUUAUUGGCAAGGCCAAAUUUUUACCCAUGCACAAAGUUUGUUGUUCCAUCGAGGGGAUCAACAAUCCAAGUUGGUUCAUCAGUUAGCUCUGUGACACCACAAGCAGCAGUAGUUUCUUCUCCAAUGAACUAGCAGGAGCAGAUUAUUAGAACAAAUAUUAGUGCAAAUGUCAUUAAAAAAAAACACAUCCUCAUCAAGCACAAUUCAAACUACACUGCCCAGCCCAAAACAAGGCAUACAGAAUAAUGACAGUUUACCUUGUGGCUUGGAAAAUGUUGCUUAAGGUGAUUGAAUAUGAGAUCUUCACAUGCUUUGUCAGUUUCGGUGACCAAAUCCACCUUCAUUGCAGGGAUGAUAGCGUGGAAGGUAAACAAUAACCAAUUGUCAUUGAGCCUUUAAAAAGAGAGUAAACUGUAUACACUAUUAUAGUUGUAUGUAUGACACAUGCAAAAUUUGGAUUUCAAAUUCAAAUUCGGAUUAUGUGUUAUGUAUCUAAUGAUGAAACUGUAUAUACUAUCAGUGUAUAGAAAAUUAGUCCUCAAAGAAAUGUAUAGGAAAAGUGCAGGGGAAAAAAAAACCGCACCACAUAUCACAUGCAAUUGUAAACAACUAAAAAUGGUCCUUGCUCUUAGAAUUUUGAACCUCCACGCCCCAUUGUAGCAAGCAUUGAACAUUUUGCCUUCAUGUGGGCAUCAAGAAACCACAUAUAUAAGCAUUCCAAAAUCCUGAAAAUCUUUGUUUUGUCGUCAUUGAACAAAUUUUCCCUUAUACCGUACCCAACUCCCAUUGGCGGAAACUACCAUUGAAUUUGAAUGUAGCGGAAACUACCCCCCCCCCCCAAAAAAAAUCAAUCUUUCCACCCACCGUUAAUCAAGUAAAAUCACAUUAGUCACAAUUAACGGCAAUUGGUCAAAUUUGAAAGUAUCAGCAACAAAAGCAAAAUCGAAAAAUUCCCCAGACUCGAAGACAUGAUCUCAAAAGUUUUGGCCUUUCAUGCGAACGUCAAAGACAAAAAGGUGAACACCAGCAGAACAGAGCUCAAUGAACUUCGAAGGGGAAACAAUAAAAGUUCACCACACCUGGCUUUUAUGCUCCACAUGCUUGGUCUGAUAGAACCCAUUACGAAUUAACUGUUAAGAUGAAAGAGAAAAAUGAAAAGUAAAGUAAACCCAAAAUGACAACCUUUUUGAAGAUGUUGAAGGCGAAAAAACCAUACAAUAAAAGCCUAUCAAACAAAUUGAAGGGGGUGGGGGAGCUUAGGAAAUCAAUCAAGCAACUCAAGGGAAAAGCAACAAUGGAGAAAGCGUUAAACUUGAAAAGAAGAAAAUUGGUUGAAUGAGUGUGAGAGUAUUCAACCUCUCCAGCUUUCUUUGCUGCAUCCACUGCAACGGACAGGAAUUCCUCCACUGAUUUCAAUCAAGAAACGAAUUUUCAGUCCCAAGAAACAUGUUACAAACAGCGACGGUACAAUUUCCUUCACAAUCAAAUAACAGAUACAUGCAAAAAAAGAGGAAAAGAAAUUCUAAAUGUGAAAACAUUAAUUGGGGUCCAACCAUUUUGGGCCAUUCUUCUCUCCUGGGGGAAAAUGGGAAAAAGAGGGCGACGCAGACGUGAACAGAAAUGGAGUGGGUGGGGGUGUAGCGGGUUGGGGAUGAUGGACGGUUGGACGCUUUUAGAUCCUACCGGUACUCGUAAUUUGGCUGACACCAAAACAAGGACUGCCGAUGCUUCGUUGCAUGGGGGAGAUGGAAUUGAAACAGGGCAGCCAGCCUCCAACUAUUUUGCUAGUAGUAGUAGCAGGGGAGUGUAAUCUAUAGGCAUUUUUUAUUUUAUUUUAUUUUGUUUUAUUUAUUUAUGGGACGACCCGUCACACUGAUUAGUACUAAAGCUAAGGAGUAGGGACUAGGAACAGGAUACCUGAAAUCAAUUGAUUAGUAGCAUUUUCACCUUAUUAGGUUUUAAAACAGUUCAAAUAAAAAAUGUUAUCUUAAAUACAGUUGAGAUGAGCCCGACUUGCCAAUUUUGAUUCCAAAUUCAACUUGAACCAAUUCCGCUUAUGAUUUUUGAAAUAACAAAACAAGUUUUGAUAUGAACUUUUAAUUAAAAAGGGUUGAACAUGAUUGAAAGGUAGAUAGAUAUCCUUGGAGAUCGGAGCGAAUAACAUUCUUGAAAAUUCUCGCCUGCAUUAUUUGGUUGCUACAACAACUCGUAAUAUGCUCAUUAGAUAUUCCUCGCUAGUCGCUAGCUUACAUGAAAUGGAAAAGCCGCCCUUUUUUUUUCUUUCCUGGUUCUUAAAAAAUCAGCCGUUCUGGGAACCAACCAGAUGGUAACAUUUGUUUCAUUUUUCGUACGGCUAAAAACAUGUUUUGAUUUUAGUUGUAUCGAGAGAGAGAGGGAGAGAGGAAGCGAACCCGAGAAUUUCCACCAAGCAGCCCGACAGAAAGGGGGAUGCUGAGGAAUAUGCCAGCCAGAAUUCUGAUUCCAUCUGGCAAAUUAUUUUUGAUUGUUUCCUGUCGAAGGCUUCUAUUAUUAUUCUCGACACCAUUUCUCCUCUCAUCUGAGCUUGAGCAUGGUUCAGUGGCUGCAAGUGGAGGUUCAAAUUUCACUGCAGAGAAAAAAAUUUAAAAGUAGUGUUCAAUCACUUUUUUGAUCUAUUACAUCUCUUAGUUCUUAAUACAAGUCUCUUUAGAUUUUCCUUCUCCUAUAAAUUAAGAUAAAAUAAAUUAUAUAAUUAUUAUUGUUGCCCUGAAAAAGAAAAAAAAAAAAAAAGAAGCUACUUACUAUGAAUGAGAAUGAUACUCCCCUGCCAAUUUGUCAUUUCUUAGGAAUGCAAUAUGAGACUCCUUUUCCUCUCAAGCCUCGGUGAAACCGUGCACCGGACUGCGACUUUAGGACCUUCUUUGAUUACUUGACAAACACUGCUACAUUAGACAAUUACUAUUUGUUCUCUUUUGCUUCCUUCCAUUGACUUGUACACUUAAACUGUCAUAAUGAUUAAAAAUUUUUAUUAAAAAAAAAAACCAUUCUUCACCUUCCUUUUAACGAACAAAACAAAAACUAGAUCAAGAAUUCAGAACAGAACACUACAGUCUCUUAACCAUAUUCAUUUGCUGCAGCACACAGGUUUUCCCUCUACAAUGCUCAAGAUACCAACAAGUCUGCAAAAUGCUUUGAAGGUUUACAUUAUUCUUAUUAAUAAUACCAGCCAUGUACAUUCCUCGCUGUCAUAUAUCAUGCACCAUUCACAUUCAUAUUCACAUCUCUCUCUCUUGCUGAAUCUAUCGUCUUCCAGCUUUGUAUUCGGAAUAUUGAAACCUCCAGUUAGGGAUGCAAACGAAUCGAGCCGCUCGCGAGCAGCUCGAGUCGAGCUUGAAUCGAGCCGCUCGAUCGACUUGAGCUCGAGCUGGUCGAGCCAGAGUCAAGCUCGAACUCAAAACAUUAAACUCGUUAGCUCACGAGCCGGCUCGCGAGCUCGAGUAUAUAUAUUUAUUUAUUUAUUUUUAAUAGUAAAAUUACAUAAAUAUUCUUAAUAUUUUAUUAUUUAUUAAGAAAAAAUAUUAUUUUAUUUAUUUUUUUAAAAAUAAAAUAAUUAUUUUUUAUUUUUUUCGAGCUCGAGCUUGAAAAUUACCAGCUCGUCGAGCUCGAGCUCGAGUUCGAAUUCGAUGAAAUUAAGUCAAGACUCGACUCGAUAAGGCCAGAGCUCAACUCGGUUCAGCUCGUUUGCAGCCCUAACCUCCAGCAAACUAAAGAAGAAGAAAAAGAAAUGAAAAGCUUUACGAAAAGGGGGUCCAUGUUUCCAGAUAUUCUGUCACUAGAAACUAUCGUUGCAAAUAAAAUUGGAGGGAAGAAAAUAACUCCCGACAGAUAUUACAACUAGGAGGCAUGAACGCGCUUCGCGCGAUAGAAAUAUAAAAUGCCCUGUCCAGUUUUGAAGUAAUAAAAAUAACAAUUUAUUUAGAAAAGUAUAUUUUUUAGCAUAGUUAUUCCACAAGUUAAGUUUUGUUGAUACUUUUUGGCCGUUUCUCACAAAGCGUCUAGUCAAUGGCAACCGUCAACUUGCAUUUUUUGCAAAACCAUUUCUGGUGCAAAAAUGGAACCAAUGUAGUAUAUAAUACAGAGCAAGAAAAGAAAGAGCAUCCCACGAGUUGGUUAUUUACUGAUUGAGAAACUUUUGUGGCCUAUAAUAGCAAACACAAUUGGAAUUAAACAAGCCUAUAAUGUGGUCUAAUAGACUACAAUCUUAAGCAUCCAUUCAACACUAUAUCAAAGUUUCACGAUGACAACUGUUUGAGGGGGCCUAUACAGAACGUGAAAUUAUGAAUCUCUUAAAGACUGUAUUCACCUCUUCAGCCAGUGACAGGAACUUUUGAGACUCAUCAGAAGCAUAACCAGAAGAACCUAGAACUAACAUUCCCGGAGCAAAACAUGCUAAAUCAUCCAUCUGCAUAUAAUUUUGAAAGACAAAUACUAUAAAUUAAUAAUUACUCCUCCACAAAACAAUUAGGAUAUUUAAUCUUGCAAGUUCACACCUCACCUUGUCAGUUAGGGAAUUUCCAAUCUUUUCACAGAUAUAUGCAAAGGAUGAAGGGGUAGUUCUCUUAACCAAGCUUGAAAGACCUUUCAUUGAUGUCUCCCACAUUUUUCUGCUUGCAGAUUCAUGAGAAGAGUUACUUCUCCAGGAUAUUCUAAGUUUAUCUCAAAGUGUGAAAAAGAACUUAAGACAGCAAAGUAAAGAAAUCUACUCCAUGCUCAACAACAAUGCAAUAAGCAAUAUGUACAUUAAACUUCAAUGUCAUUAGUCUCUCGCUUUGAGCUCAUAAUACAUUUUUCUAAUCCCAUAUACGUGACUUUUCUUUUACCUAUAUUUUCUCAGGAUAGCUGACACACUUUGAUACAAGUCUAUAUAUAUAUAGACAUACAUACACACACACACACACACACACAAACAUUAAAAUAGAAAUGUGAAUGCUUUGCAGAAAGUAUGCCUUUUGGGAAAAGAUCGAUAUAUCUAAGGAAAGAAAUGCCAAUGUUUACCUGUAAUGAUUUACAGAAGCAGUUUUGUUUCCUUGUAUCCACACCUUGAGUAAAUAUUCAUAAAAGUUGCCAAAAGAAGAGCUUUUACCAUUAUUCAAAUUACAAAAAAUACAAAGUAAAGAAAAGAAAAAAGUAUAUUUUCAAAGCCAUGGAAAUGAGAUAUACAGGAGGAUAAUUUUGAAGGGACCUAAAUGAAAAACAAAUGCUAUCUAUAGAUUAUGAGAUAAUUACAAAGCAAGUACUGCUAAGGAAUGUAAACAUAUUGAAUAGAUUGUAUCUGUCCCCCAUAGCCCCAGAAGUGAUGGUAGAAUAGGAUGUUGUGCCCCUAUGGGGAUUAACAUAGAUGGGAAGCAAACCAUCAGUAGGAAAGGUCCUUCUAAGAAAUAAAAUAACAUUCUCCACCUGAAAGUAAUGGAUAUGAAUCAUCAGCUGUCUGUCAGAAACUUAUUGGGAAAAAAAAGGUCUAUCCUUAUCUAACUCAGCCAAAAUUCUCUCUUGUUCGAGCACUAUAAAAUCUUAAUAUACACUUUGACUAUUAAAACUUUCAUAAAAUGUUCAUCUCUUUUGUCUCUCUCAGACGCACAGAAGAAGGAAAAGGGGGAAUGAGCGAGCGAAUUACUUGAAAGUGUAAGGAGCUAGUUUUUGGAUACCUUCUGCCGAUACUUUGGGUUUCCAAUCCUUUGAGAAAGAGUAAUAAACUCUAGCUGCUCUGUACCAGAAUCAGCUAAAAUACUAUCAACCUGAGAAAAGGUAAAGUUUUACACAAUUUGUCAUACAUAUGUAUACUCAAGGCAUAGACAUGACAAUGAGCAGAGACAAUGCAAGUAGUUCAUGCAGAGAAGUAGAAAUACAGAAGUUGAUUGGGAGAUACAUGAUUUCAAUGUAAAGAAAGCCAGGAUUAAUAAGAGCAAUGUAAAGCUCAAUUGCCAUUAUAUAAUUGUGAAGAAUCAGGGAAUAUUUAGAUAAUUAUUGUGGCAGGUAUUGCUAUUAUUAUAUCGUGCAGCUGAGUCUUGAAAGGGCCCACAACAAUUUUGUUUUGCUUAAAAGUAUAGCAAAAGUCACAGUUGGACAAUGAACUUGAGUCUAAAUGUUUCAUGAAACAGAAAACAAAUUAACAUAUGUAUCAACUUACACCAGUCGAUCUGGGAUUAUGCGGAUUCCCAUGAGCCAAGCUAAUAACGUUAUAAGGAAUGCCAGAAGGUGUGUCCUAUGUAGGCAGUAGCCUAUCCGCAAUAUCCUGAGCCUUUUCAAGGAAAACCUUAUCCCCAGACAGAUUAUAUGCACUGAGAAGUCCUCCUACCACUCUGGAUUUUGUUAUGAAAAAUUCAUAAGUAACCACCAGUUAUAUGAAUAUCUUGUCUACCUCCAUUUAAAAAGUUGACAAGAAUUUCAGAUGUUAAAACUUAUACAAAGGAAAAGAUGAAAACACAAACCUAAAACACACGAAACAUUAAACCUUAUAAAACAACCUUAUGGUUGUUUCAAACACACUUGCAUCAUAGUUUUUGUUAAAAUCCAAGGAAUUUACAACCCACUUGCCACCAAAUGACCAGAUAAGAUUAGAUAGGAAAAAUGGAUAAGCAAAUACUUACCGAUUAAAGACACUUUGCAAUUAAAAGAUCACCUUACUACAGUGAAACUUUCAGGAGGGGGGAGGGAAAGCAAAUUUGGACAAAGAUAGUGACAACUUAUACGUGUGUGAACAAAGAUAUAGCAAUCAUUUUUUAACAUGGUGACUACAGAAAAACUAAACAGCAAGUGGAAAUUCUACGACAUUGCUGCUAAUCUUCAAUGAAGAAAAAGUCAACAAGCAAAAUUUACAUUUAUGCAAGUGGCUCAAAUGUCUUAACUUGUUUUACACUGCCAACUUCAUUUUCUUUCUUGAAAUUAAAGCAUAAAGGGUUUUGGACAGAAAUCAAAUCCAGCACCGUGGCUAUACCAAAACGAAAAAAUGCCAAGUAUGGUUGUCUUCAAAUUGGUGUAAUUCCUACCUUCUUAACCCAUACAAAACCUUCAACUCUACAUCCUCCUACUGAGAGCGCAGGUCUUUUUGGAUCUUUUGUCUUGUCAGAUUUAUCCUCUAAAGCAAGUCUUUUAGACUCUAGUGAAACAGAUGCAACCAAAGUUUCCAUUGUCUGCAAAUAAUUAAAAAACCCAGUAAUGCCACAUAUAUAAUAGGUGACAACAUCAACACCUAUGCAGGACUACACAAUUCAAUCAUAGGUUUCUAGUAUAGAAAAAUGAUAUCAACUGCAUUGAUAGAUGUGCAGAGUCAUGCUACAUAUACAUUUUCCUUUUCCUUUAUUUAUUUAAUUUUUGUUUUGUUCUUUUACUUCCUUGCUUUACUUCACCUUAUUUUUGCCUUUCCCGUUUAAAACUUUGGGCAUGCAACUCAAUAUUGUUUCUUACCUGGACCAGACUUUCAAUGUCUUGAUCGCCAAAAUAUGAUUCAUGCUCAUGAUGCCCAUGUUCAUCCUUAUAUUAAAACAGACAACAAACUUCUGAUUUGAAUACAGCAAAUUCAAAUAUUACAUAAGGUCAUUAUAAAUGAAAAUUUCUUCUACUUAAAGCUAAAGAAGAGAAAAGUUUGCACUACAGAAGGAAAUUUUUAAUGAGAAAGUUCAGAUUAACCAAGACAAACAUAUAAUAAGCAAACAGUUUUUAACAGGCAACAAAGGUCAAAGAAUCAAAUUUGUACAAAGAUAGUGACAACUUAUACAUGUGUGAACAAAGAUAGCAAAGAAGGUUUAAUACAGAGAAAAAAUAAAAUUAUGGACCAACAUUCAUAUUAGUGUCAUACAGCAGCCUAGCAGAUAUUGCGCAUAGUCCACUUUAUGUCUAGGACUCUUUCCACCGAAUCUAAUAAUGCAAGUAUUAUCAAAUUAUAUUCAACUUUAAUGUCAACGAAAAGGAGAACAAGGUAUAAAAAAUGAAACUGAAACAUUAGAAAAUUUCCAACAGGAAUAUUGCAAGCAAAUUCCAAGUAUGAAGCUAUUGGACAAGGCCAACAAAUCAUAAGUAAGGAUGACAAAAGGAGAAUUUUAAAAAAAAAACUUCUUGAGCAGUUCUCCAUUAAUUUUUUUUAGUCCAAGAGAGAUUUUAAGAUCUUACAAGAAGAAAAGAGAAAUGGAGAAUUAAACUAGUAAUAUAGGCAGCUACCUUCUUUUCAUUAUUUCUUCGGCUGUCUUGAAGUCAUUGCAAAAAGCUUCUAUCCACAACCGUUACGCCAAACAUCUCGAUCAGGCACACCUUCAGUAAAAUAAUUUUGCCCUCCUGAAGCAGCCUCAGUCAAAUCUGGAUCUGGAUCUAUAUCAGAAUUUGGAUGUUUAAGGUCCAAAAUUGCUGCUGCAGAGCCAUCACCUAAGCGGAUCCUGUGAAAAACCAAAAAAAUUAUUUUUGGAUGGCCGACUAUGGUAGCCACCAAGGAGCCCAGGACAAGGGGCGGAAAAAAUACGAACUCCAGAGGAGGGGGAGGAAAACAGGAAGCUUACAGAAAAGAUCGGAGUUCACUGGAAAGUAAGAAGGAGAAAGCUCGCGACGAAGGAGGAGGAAAAGUGAACGAACGGCACAAGAUCUGGACCGAUGCAAACAACAGCGAAGGCGGUAGCUCCUUGGGCGGUAAGAAGACAAUGGAAUUGGCAGAACGGAAUACCACACCGCAACAAAGCUUUGUACCAGUCAGGAGAGCACGCGGAUAAGUGACAGAGCAACAUUGUUGUGAGAAAAAAAAGGAAGAGAAAGGGAAAAGAAUGACAGAAGAAAGAGAGAGAAAGCAGCUGCAGAGGGAAGGCAGCGAGAAGAGAGAAUGCAGCAGAAGCACAUGGGAUACUGGCAGCGAGGCCAGGUGGGAAGCUAACGCGCGAGGCGCGAAGGACUGAAUGCUUCCAAUCCACAUGCCGGGCACGUCAGAGGACGACGAAAGUUUUGGCUGAAUUCUGUUGGGAUGUUAUCUACUUAUUAUGCUGAUAACAUGGCCAUGUCAACUAAUGGAACUACACAAAGCCGUAUUCAUGGGCCCUCUUUCGGCUCUAGCGCAGCAAUUUCUCUGACAACUUGGGCUUUGUCAGCCUCAAACUGUUCAUCCUCUGCACCAAGACGCAAACAACUAGAAUUAGAAUGCACUAAACCCAAUAAGCUCUAGGAGAGGGUAAACCGUACAUGUUUGUUCUCUCUUACCUUUAUCCAACUUGAAAUCAGCAAAGAGGCGCAGAAGUUUGCUUCUAUUUGCCACAAGGAUGCUAACGAUAUCUGGGGGCUUAUGUUGAUUGGCAGCGAAUAACUGUGGGACAAAAAUUGCAUCUUUGGUCAGGAAGAACCAACACCAACCUGGUCUUGAUUUCUUGGCAAAGCAUAUACCAGGGUGGUUGAGAUACGAAGCAAUACCUUAAAAACAUGAAAUGCUUCAAUCUGAAUGCUCUUGCUGGAUUCCUGCCAGAGAACAAGUGUUUGUUCAGUAUGGAACAACAGAUGUAACAGAUCAAAAGAGAUAAAAGAACAAAAUAUAGUUCACCGUCUACAACGGCAAGGGGCAAGAAAGGAAGAAAAGGGAGUUUGGUGAAUGACACAUUCAAAGUACAAUAAGAUUUGACCUUAGCCAAUAUCUAUCUAUUCGUUUAGAAUAAUUUCUUUAUUACAUUGUUGCAGUAAGAUGAUCUUCGGACUAUUUCAAUAUCUUUAUCUAUGCCAAGGAGAGAGAGAGACAGAGAGGCCCAACCAAAUGGUAUUUCUCAAUCAAGAGGAGAAAACAUACUCUAAGAAGAUUCAUUAGAAUCCCCAAGUUGUCUCUUGAGCUAACAUAUCGAGUCAUGACAGCUGAAUUUGAGCGGUCAAGCAGCAUAUCCCCCAGCAACUGUGACCACCAAAAGAAUAAUUGUCUUAAACAAUAACUUUUCAAACAGAAAUAAUAAUAAUAAUAAUAAUAAAUGCUGGACUAAAACAAUAAAUUACAAUCAUCCUAUGAACGCCUAAAUUUUCUUUGGCUGAUAGGAUAAAAGAAGGCCAAAUGGACAGAAUAAAUGCAUCAAAUGCAUGUGCCAUGGUAUAGCUCUUCAGUUCACUUGAGUAAGAGAAUGCAAACUAAAGAAUUAAAAUUUUGGAACUCUUAAUAACAGAGAGACUCGCACUUCAAAAAGAAUGGAGAGAAACCCCUGAACACAAAUUUACUACAAGAUGGCCUUCAUUUUCUUCUGUAUGCCUGGCUUUUAGAAAUUUUAACAACUAUAAUUCCAAUCCUUUUCUCAAUAUUCCUCCUAGUUUGAAAAAAAAUCCUUUGAGAGGUUCCCAUCUGAGAUUUUUCCCGAAUUGGCAACCCCGGAUGCACCAAGUACUGUAGCAGAGACAGAAUUUGCAUGUCUGACAUACUGGUAAACAGUCAGCAUCAACUUCACAUCUUGGAAGAGGUUCCCAUACCGCUGUUGAAUGAAUCAUUAUUGUUGUUAUUAUUCGAUAAUAAUAUUAAGUACAUAAAUUUUCUGCCACGUGUAGGAAAAAAUAAUCUCAGCUGGUAGGGAAGAAUAAGUUUUGUGUUUUGCCUAGUAUUUUUCCAAGUCCUACAAGAAUUUCAUUUCCAGGUGGUUACCUAAAUCUCUAACGAAAAGGAGUCUUAAUUCCAUUCCCAAUAUUAACGCAAGGGAAAAGGAAACCAUUAGGUGAGAUCGAUUUCCCAAUCUUAGACUGACUCGGUGCGGAAGAAAAAUAAAAUAAAAUAAACGUUACCAUAAUCUGAAUUAAGAAGGUUAUUCUAAAACGACUGAAAAUUGGUAGUAUUUCCUUUUCCAACACGGUCACAGAAAUUGGCGCUCCAUAGUCUAUAUAUAAGAGGCCAUCAAGCCCUCUUCGACAUUAAGAUUAUAGCUAUCGAGCCCCCAGCACUUUAGAAGUUUUAACCCGCGAAUUCAUUCAGGUAAUCUCUCUAUUCUUCGAAUCUUUAAUCUUCAAUCUUCAUGCGCCUUGCCUUGCUUCUCACUUUGGAUUUUAUCAAUUCUACGAGAAGCCUCAUUAGUAUAAUGUAGCAGGAAGUUGUUUAUAGUACGAUUGUAGUUGAAGUUGGAGAUAUUAAGGGUUGAAAAGGGCAGUUUGUUGAAACAUAAAUCUACUUAUUAUAUAAGAAAGAAGUGAGAUUGCUGUAGCAAUCUCUAUGGCUGCCAAGUGGCGCCCAUCUACUUUGACACAUGGCUCAUUAAUCUUUUGAGUAAGUUAUCUUUAUUUUUUUUUCCUUUUUCUUUUGGCUUUUAUUUUCCCCUCAUUUCCUCCUUUCCUUUUGGCAAAAGACAACCACAAGAACCCUCAUCCUCAUCUACACUAUCACUUGCAUACUCAAUUUUCACUCUGUAUUCUUUUCAUUUUUUUUUCUUUUUUUCCUUCAUCCUAAAUUUUUUACUCUUUUUUUUUCUAUUAAAUUAGUUGAUGCAUUUUUUUUUCAAUUUUUCCAUAAUUAACUAAAUGAAUGGUUUUUGUUGUUGGAGUGGAUGAGGGAAGAUAGCAAAUUUUAUUGAGUGAAGAUAACAAAUUUUUCUCAACUUAUAUUCAUUCCAAUUUUAGUUUUCAUUUAUUAAAAUUGUUAUUUGAUAAUAGACUAAUAGUGCUAGGAUGGAUGAGGAAUAAUUUGACAAGUGAAGAUCCAAGGUGAAUGAUGGCUGCCAAAUGGCUCCUAUCUACUUUGACAUGCGGCUCAUUAAUCCUUUGAGGAAACUAUUUUUUUUCCCUUUUUCUUGUGUUUUUCUUUUUUCCCCUCAUUUCCUCUUUCCUUUCUGGCAAAGACAACCACAAGAACCCUCAUCCUCAUCUACACUAUCAUUUGCAUGCUCAAUUUUCACUCUGUACUCUUUUCAUUUUUUUCUCUUUUUUUUUCCUUCACCUUAAUCAUUUACUCUUUUUUUUAUAUUGAAUUAGUUGAUGCAUUUUUUUUCAAUUUUUCUAUAAUUAACUAAAUGAAUGGGUUUUGUUGUUUGAGUGGAUGAGGGAAGAUAGCAAUUUUUGUUGAGGGAAGAUAACAAUUUUUCCUCAACUUAUUUUCAUUCCUAUUUUAGUUUUCAUUUAUUAAAAUGGUUAUUUGACAAUAGGCCAAUAGUGCUGGGAUGGAGGAGGAAGAAUUUGACAAGUGAAGAUCGAAGGUGAAUGAUGACUCUGAAGGAAAUAGAGAGGUCUAUUGAAUUUAAAAUUAAUCAAAAUCUCUUAAUUUAUAGAUAGAUAAUUAUAUUUCCAUAUUUUGAUUUAUUUAAAGUUUCUUAAUGGUGAAAAAUGGUUAUUUAUUAGAUGAGAAGGAUGAUAUGUAAAGGAAUUGUCGGGGCUAGCAAUUUAGGAUAUGAAUAAAAUAUUUCGUAUAAUCUCUUCAUUUUAGGUUACUGACUUGUAUCCAUGACAAGUGGUUUAUUUUCAUUGCAUGAUAGUUUGAGAAGAAAAAAAAGUGUAAAACUAGAUUUUAAAAUCAUUUGCUUAAGUUGGUUCUAUGAAUUUGUAUUUUUAUAUAAGCUAGAUGUGGAACUCGAUAUAUCAUGACUAUUUGGCUAAAGGAGUUGAUAAAUUUUUGUAAACUCAAGUAGUUGAAUUGAUUAUUGUUGUUAAGGAAUUGCAAUUGGUGGUGGAAGUCAAAAUUGUGACUUUUAGCCUAGAGUGUGAUUCGACAAAAAAAUUGUAAAAAAAUUCAAUCUUGAUUAAGAAGACAUUUUUACAAUCAAACAAAUGGUUUGUUUCGAAUUUGUAUAUGUACAUUUGCAAACAUGGCAGUACAUAUUUUUAUCUAAUAUUGUUAUUUGUAUCCUCAAGCUUUUUGGCAAAUAAUGUUAUCACCUGUUGUAAUGCUAUUAAAAAGGAUUUAAAUGGAUGGAUUAACAACUCAUUUUUUCUUUGAAAAAGACAAAAAAACCAAUGUGUAGGUUUGUAUGUUUUGAAAAGGAUAGAAAAAUGUGCAAGUUUGUAUCUUUUAUUGAUGUUGAAAAUUGUGACAAAUUUUGGUGAUUUUCUAAACCUUUUCUAAUUAUUAAAGUGCUAGAAGUAUUAUGACUACUUUUGGUUUAGUCACAAUUAAAGUAUGCUGCUAUUAAAUUGAUAAUAUAGUGUACUUAUUAUCUCUCCUUUUUUUGGUAUUAUUAUGCACACAUAGUAUUGGUUCAAAAAUCUUUAUUUCAUAAACGAAAUUUUUCUUCACAGCAAAUUUUAAUUGUUUUGAUGCUCAAAUUUUCUCCUAUAUUUACCAAAAAGAUAUAUUGCUUUAUGUUUAACUACACUUCUAAGGGGCACAGGCCGUGCAAAUGCCUCUAGUCGAAGUAUACUCGUUGAAGUACAUAUAAUAUGAAUGACUUCUGAUGAUCUUUGACGGGUGCCCCAUCUCCAACAAAACUUGGAACCGUGUUUCCUUUUCAAUUGCAAACCCCUCACCAAACUAGCUAACUACUCUUGCCCCACCAGUCUCCUAUAUUAAGACUCUCUCUUCCAAGUCUUUCCCUUCAAUCUUCCCUUCUCUCCAAUGCAAGCACUACUUAUAUUUCUCGCACUAAUUAUCUUUCUGAUCAACAGGCUAAUUGACAAAGAUGGGUGCAACAAGAAGAUGCAUGGUGAUUCUUGGCGUCCUGUUUGCUCUGUUUCUGUCGUCCACUUCUGCACAGUCAUGUUCAAAGUACAACUUUGCCAGCAAUAAAGUUUUCAGUGCCUGCAGCGAUCUUCCAUAUUUGAACUCCUAUCUUCAUUGGACGUACAGCCCAUCUUCCCAGAGUCUUGAGAUAGCGUUUAGGCGCUUGGGAACAUCAUCAUCAAGAUGGGUUUCUUGGGCUAUUAAUCCAACUUCUCAAGGAAUGGUGGGAUCACAAGCACUCGUGGCUUUCCAGAAAUCUGAUGGAACCAUGAGAGCCUACACUUCGCCUAUAAAAAGUUACCAGACGGGAUUACAAGAAGGAGAUUUGAGCUUCCCAGUUUCGGAUUUAUCUGCUACUUAUUCGAAUAAUGAGAUGAUCGUUUAUGCUACCUUGAAGCUGCAGAAUUCGAGCUCUACUCUGAACCAGGUGUGGCAAGAAGGUCCACUCUCAAACGACAGUCCUGGAAUGCAUCCCACCACUGGUCCUAAUGUCCAAUCCAUGGGCACUCUCAACCUACUUUCUGGAGAAUCUAAGACCCCAGCAGGAGCCUCAAGUUCAAAACUCAAGGCUAAGAAUGCAAGUCCUUUAAUCGUUUUUCCCUUUCUUUCUUGAGUUCGUGAUUAUAUAUCUUUUCUUUCCCCCAAAAAAAAAUAUAUAAAGACUUGUAGAUAGAUGGACAUUCCUUGAAUCUAUUUAGCAUGUUAUUUGUAAAGAAAAAGUUAAUCAUGAUAUUGCUGACCCAAUCCGCUUUUUGAUAUGUUUCAGAUUCAUGGGGUGCUGAACGCAGUGAGUUUGGGAAUUCUGAUACCUCUGGGGGCUAUAAUCGCAAGAUACGUUAAGGAAUUUCCUUUGGCGGACCCUGCUUGGUUUUACCUUCAUGUUACCUGCCAAUUAUCGGCCUUCAUCCUUGGCGUGGCCGGAUUUGGUGCUGGGCGCCGCCUGGGGAGCCAGUCUCCAGGAAUCACGUACGCAGUCCACAGGGGCCUUGGCAUUGCUCUCUUUACCCUGGCAUUGGUUCAGGUGAGUGCUUUGCUUAUAAGGCCGAAGAAGGAUCACAAGUGGAGAAGCUACUGGAAUUGCUACCACUACCUGGUCGGAUACGGAAUUCUCGGCAUCAGCAUCGCCAACAUUUCCAAAGGAUUGGAUAUCCUGAGCCCGGAGAAGAAAUGGAAAAGAGCAUACAUUGGCAUCUUGGUGACCCUGGCAUCUCUUGCCCUUCUCUUGGAAGUAAUUAUAUGGUUCCUGAAGAGGAGCAAGAGAUCAGCAGGUGCUGACAAGUGGUCCCACGGCACCAAUGGGACAAAUGGACUAAAUGGCUAUGGAGAAAGGAAGCCUGAGACAGUCUAGUUUACCAACUUGAGAUUUAUUCCUCCCUAUACAACUCUUUUCAUUUAGUGUUUUCCUUUUCGGUCGUACCUAUUUAUGCACCGCAUGUUGUGAUACCCCAAAUUUUAGGAUAUUAUUUUUGUUUAAUCUCAAAGAAAAGAUUAUGGUUUCUUUAUUUUAUUUUUAUUUUAAAACAUUAUUUUAUUUUAAAGACUAAAAACCCUACUUGUAUUUUAAAACCCUAGUUUACUUGUGACUAAUAGGUUGUGUUUAAAUCCCUCAUAUUUGACUGAAAACCCUAAUUUUAUUCUAUGAAAUUGUAAAAUUCAUCACAUUUUUUCUUAAAAUUCCCUUUUAUUUGAAAUACAUUACCUUAUUAUAGCUAUACUACUUAUUUACAUCCUCAAGGGUUGGAAUAAAGAAUAGAAUUAAGAGUUUUACGCUUAGUUUUAUAGUUCGGGUAAAUUAGAGUUUUCACGUAUUUUGGUAAUGCGAUUAAGUGUGGAGGGUUGUGUACUAAAUUUUGUAAUUAAGAGUGAGUUUUAGAUGAGAAAUAAUAUGAGAUUAGAAGUGAGAAUAAUAAGUUAGUAAAUUAUAAGUAAAACGCCUAGUACGUGCGAGUUAAGGAAAAACGGGUAGAACCGACAUGCACCGUUUGUUAUCGAGUGAGUGCACCAUGUGAACACCACUUUAUUACCUUAAUACCCUUGCUAUUAAUUGAGUUAAAUCAGCCCCAAAAUAUCUGAUAAAGCAGCCGAAAAGUUGGAAAAAAAAACAAGAGAGAGAAAAGAAAAUUUUGACCACCAAUUAAAUUGUGACAUGUGUUAAAUUUUGACCAAGCUUUUUUCUUGCUUUCUUAUCUUUCCUUGGGCUGCAUUUCUUCUUCAUUUUCUGCACAUUUGGCCGUGAAAGUGAGGAGAGAAAAGGAGAGAAAGAAACAUUUCAUUCCAUCUUAAUUUCUUACUCAAUCUUGCAAACUAACCGAUGGAUUUACCAAAUAAUCCAUGAAAAUUGCUUAGAAAGGUGGAUUGCUAUCUUGGAGUGGAGAGUUUUGGUGGUUCAAGCUUCCUAGAGGCUGUUGUGCUUCUCCAAUACUAGGUGAGGAAGGUAUUAGUUCAUGGUUGUACUACUUAAUAGUUUACAAGUGAAAGUUAUGGUUUGUUGGGUAGAUCUCAUGGUUUAGUAGUAGAUUUGGUCAAUUCCAGCUUUGUAGUGUAAAAUUUCAGCUUUGGGUUUGAAUGAUUUUCUUCUUAUACUUGCUGUAUGAAUGGUAUAUGAUAUAUAUAAGCUUGUAUAUGAGGUUGUAGUGCUGAUUUCAAGCUUAAAAUGAGAGUUAUACCUUGAAUGGAGCAAAUUUCCAGAAUAUCGGUUUCUUAUGCUUCAGUUCUGUCCUGUUUCAGUGCCCUAUGUUAGAGGCUGAAUUAGGCUUGGUACAAAACAUGAAAGUUGUAGAGAAUGAUAUUUUAUAGUAUUCUACAAAAUUUUAGCUCAAUCGGAGCAACGUAACCUAUGAAAAAACCGAAAUAUCCCUGCUGCCCUGUUUCUAUCCGAACAUACUAAUCAGCUUCUGUAAUUGGUUGUUUUGACCAGGAAUACUACUUAUUUGGAUGUUGAUGUCUUCUUAAGACUUAUAGCCUUAUAUCUUAGCUUUCAAAUGGAUUUAGAAUCACUUGAAUUGGAGUUGUAUAUUCUGAGAUAUGAUUGAAUGACUCAGGACUGCCAUAAUAAACUUCGAAUUGAAAAAUCUGGAGUUGUUUUGAUAAAUUUGACCUAGAUACAUUGCAAACUGGACUAAGUGGCCUUCUUCAACCUUGUAGCCCCUUGUCUUAGUUUCAAAAUGGUAUAAGUUGCACCUCAAUCCGAUAAGCGUAACCUCGGAUGUGCCCAUUCCGCAAAAAUCCGUUAAAACUGUCUUUUGUAAACUUCGUUUCCACACUUGUUAUUAGCUUAAAUUUUUGUCCUUGUAUUGUCCUAAGCAUAUUGAGUGGCUGUUUAUGUUGUGUGUAAUGUUGGGAUUGAUUGAGGAAAAUAAUAAAGCCAUAAAUGGCUGAAAAAUAGGUAAAUACAAAGGGGGUGCUGCCCAAAUUUUCGCUCGAGAACUAAUUUUCUAUUUGAACUUGUAUAUUUUCGUUUGGCAAAUACUAUGACCGUUUUUCCAUCUUAAAACGUGGUCAUUUUUCAAUUGGAAACUCCAAAUGUCUACUUACUCUUAUCAAAUAAAGAGAAGUGAUUUAGGGUUUUCUUGGGUACUUUGUUAUCCUUUUUACAUGAAUUUCAUUAAGACCUUUAGUUUAUAAAAUCUACUUGAAUAUGAGAUGAUUUUGAACCAUAUAAACGAUUCUGAAAACAGUAUUUCUUAGCCUAUCUAGUUGGAUUCCGACUUGUCUUUAGUUCAAGUGUUUUCAUUGAAAAAUUUUAUAAUCCUUUUGAGUUUGGUUUUACAUUUGGUCUACGAAACCCUAAUUAUUUUAUCUAAGGGUCUAAAUGUCCUGGUUUCACUUUAAAUACCUAAUUGUUUGUGCUGGAUGAGCUGUAAUAUUCUGUCUCGUUAACUUUAGGUUUUCUCGGUGACUAAGGAUAAUAUCCGGAAGGAAAUUUUGUAAGUUAUUUUGCGUACAUAGGUGAGUGUUCCUUAUUUGCUAUAUUAUUCUUGACUCCAUGACUUGUGUUAUUGUUUGAUAACGUGUUAAGUACUUUCCAUGAUUUUCGAAACAAGUUUUCUGGGCGAGUGUGUACUUCAUCGCACUCGACCUAAAUACAUAUGAACUUUUUCAUGAUUUAAUGAUUGAACAAAUGAUUAGUUAUGCAUGAAUGUAAGCCUUCUGGCUGAACUGGGCCCUGCCCUUCGUUACCGAUCGACUCGAGCCAGUAGCGGACUCGGUCGGGCGAUAUGGUGACCCUGGGUGUGAACGUCGGUAUACUCGAGUAUUACCUUGUAGUCCGGACAACGUCCGGAUGGGUGGAGCCUGACCAACGGCUGGGAAGGAAUGAACGAACGAAAGAACAAACGAGGGAUUUUACUUACAAAAAUGCAUUUUUAAACGAUUGGAGGAAUAAGGGGAAAUGUCAAGAGAAUGAACGAACAAACAAAUUGCUCAUUGUGAGCCGUAUCCUUUUAAUGAAUGUGUUACUAUCGCUUUCCAUUGUAAAUGUUUCUUGAAUUAUUGAUACUCCAUAUUUCAUGUAUUGAAAUGACUAUUUGAUUAUGUGUUCGGAAUCUCACUGAGCUCUUAACUUAUCUCUUUAGUUUUGUUUUCCUUAACAGGGGAAGGCAUGCAAGGAUGAGAGCUUAGUAUAGACUAGCUUGGUCUAACUCUUUGAUUUUGUAAUGGUUCUCGCCCUAGUGCUUGGCACGGGCUGAUUGUAUGGUGAAGUGAGAACCUUUGUACCUUUGAUGGUUGUAUUUUUUUUUGAGAUAGUAAUGUAUAUAUAAGUUUCACUUAAAUUUUGGAUUGUUGUAUGUUAUUUCUUUGGUUAUAUUCCGAAUUUGAUUAAGGAACGACUGAAUCCCGGCGAGAGUUGGGCAGGCGACCCGCCGAACCCUUUGGUACGCCUUAGGGGAAGGUAGGACCGUCACACAUGUAUAUUUUCCAACUCGACGGUAGGGGUUUUAAGAUGAGUUUAUGAUUUAGUAGUAGUAGAAUUUUAGAACUCCACGCCGAUAUGUAGGUACUAUUGUUUCUUGAAUGGCAUCUGCGGAUUUAUUUUUUUUUCGACGAUUAAAAUCUCUUAUCUAUAUGUGCCUUUUUUCCAUACUCUUAUUUCUGAUGAUCAAUAGGUGUCUGUGCUCUGUAGAAAAAGCAAUAGGCGUAUGAUGACACACUUCAUUAUUUGCAGAGACCCAGAAAUAUUGACAGACAGAGCAAAUUCUAAACGAUGUGCAAUUUCUUAAAAAAAGUACAGUAGCUUCGAAUCCUUGUAUAAAAAAGGAUACCUUAAUCGCUGCAUUAGCACAAGGGAGGAACUGAUGACAGAAAUUUGGUAAUGGUUUGCCGCCACCAAAUUCCAUGUCGUGACAUCAAUAGCUUAACUACCUACUCCGUCCGUCCUGUUGCAUAGAGUAGUUCGCGUUACGGUUGGUUUCAUUAAUCUACUUUAUUUGUCCCAGUCAAUUCGUCCACUUCCUGCAACAUGUGCUGAUAUCAAUAAUUUAAUUAUCAUAUUCUCAACCAUCCAUGAAAAAAAGCUUAACUUUUUAUGUUGAUCAGUUUCUAAUGCGAACCACAAAUUUAGGCCCUAAUUAUGCAACCAAUGCUAAAAUCAAGUAUCUUACGUUUUCUUGGGAAAAAAAAAAUGCCCACGAGAGUUUCCAAGAAACAAACUACAAUAGUGCAAAGAUGCACAUUCCGCGGCAUGGCUAUAAAAACAGCAAAGCGCAGAGAGGAGAGGCAGAAAAUACUCAAACAUAGAACUAGCAAUUUCUCAAGAGCCAUAAGCUUCAGAUAUCAAGAAAAAGCAUUUUUAGGAGCUCCAUCCAAUGUAGGGUGAACUUGGAACUAAGGUAGUCAUAUCAAUUGGACACUACAGCGCAUUUGGUGCAGCUAAUAUUUUGCAACUCAGUAAAACUGACUAGGCCAUUUUCCAGCUAAUUAGAGUGCUUCUAAAGCCUUUGAUGUGAACUGAAUAGAUGAAUAAUCUGUAAUUCUUCAUAAUAUAUAAGAAGGUGACUGUUACGGAACUGUUGUGGUAGCUCUCUGAGUUACCAUGUUUCUCUCAUUUGGAUUGCUGCAAUGCCUCAAUGAAGGCAUCCUUGAGAAGAGAAUUUGAAGCUGCUAUUCUUUGCGAGGUGAUAUCAAAAUCAGCACCAGACCUGCAGCAAAAGCAACAUGCAAUACUCAUAAAUAGCCUCUUAUCAUAUAUAUAAGUUAAAGCAAUUAUAAAAUUCAGUGCUAUUUCUACGGAUGCGACAUUUAGAGACUUGGCAUGUUUCAUUUUGGAACGACAUUCUGAACUCCAGAACUACUGGAUGAGCAGCAUGCAGAUCCAAUUCUUUUAAUAGACCAGGAAGAUGUCAGAAGUUCAGAGGACUUACGGAUCAAACAGAACACCUCCAGCUUCUUUAACAAUGAGAGCACCACCUGCCACAUCCCAAGGGCCUCCAUAUCCAAGUUCAUAAAAGAGAUCAAGCCUUCCACAUGCAAUACCACAGAGAUUUAAAGCACAGGAGCCACUCAUCCGAAGAGACCUCACCUGAUGUAUUGAGAAACAAGUAAUAUUAAUUAUGCAAUUUAAAAACUAUAUUUAAACUCCUGAUGGGCCCCAUCCAGAGGCAGCCAUGGUUUGGUUUGACCAGGCUGGGCGGGUCAUAUGGGUGUUGCAGCAGAACUCUAUCAUCUCAUGAAACCUAAUCCAAUUUACUACUACAAUCCUACAUCUGACGAUAGUCUUACGAAAGAGUUGUUACUACUAGUUCAUCUGUUAGUGGGUCAAGAUUCACCCGAGUCAAACUGCAAAGUGUGGUGGUUAGGACUGUUGGGAAUAAGGCAAUCCAUGUAAAACUGUUCUCCCUACUUCUUUUACAGUUGCAGUUCUUCUUCCGCAACAAUUAUUACUUGGUUUGACCUUCAAUUCUCCCCAAGCAUUAGGCAACGAUCAUUAUAUAUAUGUUGAGAAAAUGUGCAAGUCUUCUUAAAAAAAAAAAGAGGUGUGCAAAUACAGAGGGAAAUGUUGAGAAAAAAAAGGUUUCCUCAUGCAAAUCUCAUUCUGCUCUGCAGAAAGAAGCAUAAGUUCUGUGUUUUGCCCAGUGUUUUUCCAAGUCCUACAAGAAUUUCAUUUCCAGGUGGUUACCUAAAUCUCUAACCAAAAGGAGUCUUAAUUCCAUUCCCAAUCUUAGAGUGAUUCGGUGCGGAAGAAAAAUAAAAUAAAAUAAACGUUACCAUAAUCUGAAUGAAGAAGGUUAUUCUAAAACGACUAAAAAUUGGUAGUAUUUCCUUUUCCAACACGGUCACAGAAAUUGGCGCUCCAUAGUCUAUAUAUAAGAGGCCAUCCAGCCCUCUUCGACAUUAAGAUUACAGCUAUCGAGCCCCCUGCACUUUAGAAGUUUUCAUUCAGGUAAUCUCUCUAUUCUUCGAAUCUUCAAUCUUCAUGCGCCUUGCCUUGCUUCCCAGUUUGGAUUUUAUCAAUUCUACGAGAAGCCUCAUUAGUAUAAUGUAGCAGGAAGUUGUUUAUAGUACGAUUGUAGUUGAAGUUAGAGAUAUUAAGGGUUGAAAAAAAAAGGGCAGUUUGUUGAAACAUAAAUCGAAGUAUACUUGUUGAAGUACAUAUAAUAUGAAUGACUUCUGAUGAUCUUUGACAGGUGCCCCAUCUCCAACAAAACUUGGAACCAUGUUUCCUUUUCAAUUGCAAACCCCUCACCAAACUACCUAACUACUCUUGCCCCACCAGUCUCCUAUAUUAAGACUCCCUCUUCCAAGUCUUUCCCUUCAAUCUUCCCUUCUCUCCAACGCAAGCACUAGUUAUAUUUCUCGCACCAAUUAUCUUUCUGAUCAACAGGCUAAUUGACAAAGAUGGGUGCAACAAUGAGAUGCAUGGUGAUUCUUGGCGUCCUGUUUGCUCUGUUUAUGUCGUCCACUUCUGCGCAGUCAUGUUCAAAGUACAACUUUGCUAGCAAUAAAGUUUUCAGUGCCUGCAGCGAUCUUCCAUAUUUGAACUCCUAUCUUCAUUGGACGUACAGCCCAUCUUCCCAGAGUCUUGAGAUCGCGUUUAGGCGCUUGGGAACAUCAUCAUCAAGAUGGGUUUCUUGGGCUAUUAAUCCAACUUCUCAAGGGAUGGUGGGAUCACAAGCACUCGUGGCUUUCCAGAAAUCUGAUGGAACCAUGAGAGCCUACACUUCGCCUAUAAAAAGUUACCAGACGGGAUUACAAGAAGGAGAUUUGAGCUUCCCAGUUUCGGAUUUAUCUGCUACUUAUUCGAAUAACGAGAUGAUCGUUUAUGCUACCUUGAAGCUGCAGAAUUCCAGCUCUACUCUGAACCAGGUGUGGCAAGAAGGUCCACUCUCAAACGACAGCCCUGGAAUGCAUCCCACCACUGGUCCUAAUGUCCAAUCCAUGGGCACUCUCAACCUACUUUCUGGAGAAUCUAAGACCACAGCAGGAGCCUCAAGUUCAAAACUCAAGGCUAAGAAUGCAAGUCUUUGAAUCGUUUUUCCCUUUCUUUCUUGAGUUCGUGAUUAUAUAUCUUUACUUUCCCCCCAAAAAAAAAAUAUAAAGACUUGUAGAUAGAUAGACAUUCCUUGAAUCUAUUUAACAUGUUAUUUGUAAAGAAAAAGUUAAUCAUGAUAUUGCUGACCCAAUCCGCUUUUUGAUAUGUUUCAGAUUCAUGGGGUGCUGAACGCGGUGAGUUGGGGAAUUCUGAUGCCUCUGGGGGCUAUAAUCGCAAGAUACGUUAAGGAAUUUCCUUUGGCGGACCCUGCUUGGUUUUACCUUCAUGUUACCUGCCAAUUAUCGGCCUUCAUCCUUGGCGUGGCCGGAUUUGGUACUGGGCUCCGCCUGGGGAGCCAGUCUCCAGGAAUCACGUACGCAGUCCACAGGGGCCUUGGCAUUGCUCUCUUUACCCUGGCAUUGGUUCAGGCGAGUGCUUUGCUUAUAAGGCCGAAGAAGGAUCACAAGUGGAGAAGCUACUGGAAUUGCUACCACUACCUGGUCGGAUACGGAAUUCUCGGCAUCAGCAUCGCCAACAUUUUCAAAGGAUUGGAUAUCCUGAGCCCGGAGAAGAAAUGGAAAAGAGCAUACAUUGGCAUCUUGGUGACCCUGGCAUCUCUUGCCCUUCUCUUGGAAGUAAUUGUAUGGUUCCUGAAGAGGAGCAAGAGAUCUGCAGGUGCUGACAAGUUGAAGUCGUCCCACGGCACCAAUGGGACAAAUGGACUAAAUGGCUAUGGAGGAAGGAAGCCUGAGACAGUCUAGUUUACCAACUUGAGAUUUAUUCCUCCCUAUACAACUCUUUUCAUUUAGUGUUUUCCUUUUCGGUCGUACCUAUUUAUGCACCCGCAUGUAUAUUUUCCAACUCGACGGCAGAGGUUUUAAGAUGAGUUUAUGAUUUAGUAGUAGUAGAAUUUUAGAACUCCACGCCGAUAUGUAGGUACUAUUGUUUCUUGAAUGGCAUCUGCGGAUUUAUUAUUUUUUUUUCCCAUGAUUAAAAUCUCUUAUCUAUAUGUGUCUUUUUUCCAUAGUCUUAUUUCUGAUCAAUAGGUGUCUGUACUCUGUAGAAAAAGCAAUUGGUGUAUGAUGACACACAUCAUUAUUUGCAGAGACCUAGAAAUAUUGACAGACAGACAGCAAAUACUUUAUUUGUCCCAGUCAAUUCGUCCACUUCCUGCAACAUGUGCUGAUAUCAAUAAUUUAAUUAUCAUAUUCUCAACCAUCCAUGAAAAAAAGCUAACUUUUUAUGUUGAUUACUUUGCCCUAAUUAUGCAACCAAUGCUAAAAUCAAGUAUCUUACGUUUUCUUGGAAAAAAAAAAUGCCCACAAGAGUUUCCAAGAAACAAACUACAGUAGCGCAAAGAUGCACAUUCCGCGGCAUGGCUAUAAAAACAGCAAAGCGCAGAGAGGAGAGGCAGAAAAUACUCAAACAUAGAACUAGCAAUUUCUUAAGAGCCAUAAGCUUCAGAUAUCAAGAAAAAGCAUUUUUAGGAGCUCCAUCCAAUGUAGGGUGAACUUGGAACUAAGGUAGUCAUAUCAAUUGGACACUACAGCGCAUUUGGUGCAGCUAAUAUUUUGCAACUCAGUAAAACUGACUAGGCCAUUUUCCAGCUAAUUAGAGUGCCUCUAAAGCCUUUGACGUGAACUGAAUAGAUGAAUAAUCUGUAAUUCUUCAUAAUAUAUAAGAAGGUGACUGUUACGGAACUGUUGUGGUAGCUCUCUGAGUUACCACGUUUCUCUCAUUUGGAUUGCUGCAAUGCCUCAAUGAAGGCAUCCUUGAGAAGAGGAUUUGAAGCUGCUAUUCUUUGCGAGGUGAUAUCAAAAUCAGCACCAGACCUGCGGCAAAAGCAACAUGCAAUACUCAUAAAUAUCCUCUUAUCAUAUAUAUAAGUUAAAGCAAUUAUAAAAUUCAGUGCUAUAUCUACAGAUGCGACAUUUAGAGACUUGGCAUGUUUCAUUUUGGAACGACAUUCUGAACUCCAGAACCACUGGAUGAACAGCAUGCAGAUCCAAUUCUUUUAAUAGACCAGGAAGAUGUCAGAAGUUCGGAGGACUUACGGAUCAAACAGAACGCCUCCAGCUUCUUUAACAAUGAGAGCACCACCUGCCACAUCCCAAGGGCCUCCAUAUCCAAGUUCAUAAAAGAGAUCAAGCCUUCCACAUGCAAUACCACAGAGAUUUAAAGCACAGGAGCCACUCAUCCGAAGAGACCUCACCUGAUGUAUUGAGAAACAAGUAAUAUUAAUUAUGCAAUUUAAAAACUAUAUUUAAACUCCUGAUCCCAUUGCAAGGAUUUAUUUUACCUUGAACAGUAAACUGUUAAUUUUGUUGGUACAGGUGUCCACAGUUAGUUUAUCACGCUUUGUCCCAGCCUGCUUCCAGGAAUCAUUCAUUCAGUAGCUGGAAGCAAACUAAACAUCCACAAUUUAAGAUGAAUAAACUUUAUGCUAGUUUGUACUAUCUCAUAGAAUUCACACAUGAGAGAGAGAGUGAAGAAGGAUCAAAUGAAGUCAUCCACAAUCUGAUGCUGCUGGAUCAGAACCAAUGUCUCAAUGUUCCCAAAGGGCAAAGCUAUAGCGCUUUUUCGAGCUAGUUAUUCAAACAAGAAUGCUUAAUGCAAAUUUUAAAAGGGUAAAAGAAAUAGACAAGGCUCAUCAAAAACAUAAUCUGUUGCUGAAAAAAUGUCCAUGGUCUACAAGAACUUAAAUUAUUACCAAAAACUUCAUUCAAUGUUCUAUUUCUGCAUGCUUAUGAUACGUUCAUGUUGCUGAAGAAAGCUGGUGGUGUUCACAAGCAUAAAAUGAGGGAAGGCCUCAAUGUUGUAACCAGCAUACAUUCUUAAAAUGUGCUACAGCUGAUGGAUGAAGAGUUACCCAAUGGUUCCAUGAAAAAGAUACCAGUAUGUGUUUAGCUACGUAUAGCUGAAUACCUACCCCUGUAGCAAGAAGAGACUUCACGAGUUCAGACUGAGAAGACACUGCAUAUGAACAAAAGAAGUUACUGAGAGGUUUCAAGUUUGAAUAGCAUCAAAAUAUAGCACACUAAUUGCAGAACUAAACUUACCUUUUAUUGGUUUUCCAUUCAGAAAAGCUCCUUUCCCCUCUAUCCCAGUGAAAAGCUGCAAAGUAGAAGAAAGAGUUUUCUCAACUCAACCAGCAAUUUUUUUUUUAUUUAUUAUUAUUUUUUGGUGCCACAACUCAAUCAGCAUUUGUUGCUAUACAUCUAUUGGAUUUGCUAUUUGUGAGCAUGAUGAGCAUAAUUUUGGAAACCCACUAUCCACUGGAUAAAGGAACCCCAAUAGCAUGAAGGGAACAAGAAAACAGAAGCAUCGUGCUUAACAGGUUUGCAAGAUGGACUCAGGCAGACACUACAGAAAUUACUCAUGAAACAUUUCAAUUAUUUAAGACAGAUCCCUCUGGCUUUAUUUCUUAGCUUUCUACACAUGUACAUUUUCUCUAACAUUGAUAGUUCAAAUACCAAAACGAGUAGGUUUUUCGUAAUAAAAAACAGUGUCUCACCUCAUCUAUAAUGGGAUUGUAGACAACACCAACUGUUGGAACCUUUCCAAGUGUAAGACCAAUAGAAACGCACACAAAAGGGAACCUACGAGUCACCAUAUUAUCAAAGUAAAUUGCUUUAGUAACUUGCCAUAUAUCAGAAAGUCUGUCUCAAUAGCUAUGCUUAUUGGCAAGGCCAAAUUUUUACCCAUGCACAAAGUUUGUUGUUCCAUCGAGGGGAUCAACAAUCCAAGUUGGUUCAUCAGUUAGCUCUGUGACACCACAAGCAGCAGUAGUUUCUUCUCCAAUGAACUAGCAGGAGCAGAUUAUUAGAACAAAUAUUAGUGCAAAUGUCAUUAAAAAAAAACACAUCCUCAUCAAGCACAAUUCAAACUACACUGCCCAGCCCAAAACAAGGCAUACAGAAUAAUGACAGUUUACCUUGUGGCUUGGAAAAUGUUGCUUAAGGUGAUUGAAUAUGAGAUCUUCACAUGCUUUGUCAGUUUCGGUGACCAAAUCCACCUUCAUUGCAGGGAUGAUAGCGUGGAAGGUAAACAAUAACCAAUUGUCAUUGAGCCUUUAAAAAGAGAGUAAACUGUAUACACUAUUAUAGUUGUAUGUAUGACACAUGCAAAAUUUGGAUUUCAAAUUCAAAUUCGGAUUAUGUGUUAUGUAUCUAAUGAUGAAACUGUAUAUACUAUCAGUGUAUAGAAAAUUAGUCCUCAAAGAAAUGUAUAGGAAAAGUGCAGGGGAAAAAAAAACCGCACCACAUAUCACAUGCAAUUGUAAACAACUAAAAAUGGUCCUUGCUCUUAGAAUUUUGAACCUCCACGCCCCAUUGUAGCAAGCAUUGAACAUUUUGCCUUCAUGUGGGCAUCAAGAAACCACAUAUAUAAGCAUUCCAAAAUCCUGAAAAUCUUUGUUUUGUCGUCAUUGAACAAAUUUUCCCUUAUACCGUACCCAACUCCCAUUGGCGGAAACUACCAUUGAAUUUGAAUGUAGCGGAAACUACCCCCCCCCCCCCGGGCCAAAAAAAAAAAAUCAAUCUUUCCACCCACCGUUAAUCAAGUAAAAGCACAUUAGUCACAAUUAACGGCAAUCGGUCAAAUUUGAAAGUAUCAGCAACAAAAUCAAAAUCGAAAAAUUCCCCAGACUCGAAGACAUGAUCUCAAAAGUUUUGGCCUUUCACGCGAACUUCAAAGACAAAAAGGUGAACAUCAGCAGAACAGAGCUCAAUGAACUUCGAAGGGGAAACAAUAAAAGUUCACCACACCUGGCUUUUAUGCUCCACAUGCUUGGUCUGGUAGAACCCAUUACGAAUUAACUGUUAAGAUGAAAGAGAAAAAUGAAAAGUAAGGUAAACCCAAAAUGACAACCUUUUUGAAGAUGUUGAAGGCGAAAAAACCAUAAAAUAAAAGCCUAUCAAACAAAUUGAAGGGGGUGGGGGAGCUUAGGAAAUCAAUCAAGCAACUCAAGGGAAAAGCAACAAUGGAGAAAGCGUUAAACUUGAAAAGAAGAAAAUUGGUUGAAUGAGUGUGAGAGUAUUCAACCUCUCCAGCUUUCUUUGCUGCAUCCACUGCAACGGACAGGAAUUCCUCCACUGAUUUCAAUCAAGAAACGAAUUUUCAGUCCCAAGAAACAUGUUACAAACAGCGACGGUACAAUUUCCUUCACAAUCAAAUAACAGAUGCAUGCAAAAAAAGAGGAAAAGAAAUUCUAGAUGUGAAAACAUUAAUUGGGGUCCUACCAUUUUGGGCCAUUCUUCUCUCCUGGGGGAAAAUGGGAAAAAGAGGGCGACGCAGACGUGAAGAGAAAUGGAGUGGGUGGGGGUGCAGCGGGUUGGGGAUGAUGGACGGUUGGACGCGCUUUUAGAUCCCACUGGUACUCGUAAUUUGGCUGAUACCAAAACAAGGACUGCCGAUGCUUCGUUGCAUGGGGAGGAUGGAAUUGAAACAGGGCAGGCAGCCUCCAACUAUUUUGCUAAUAGUAGUAGCAGGGGGGUGUAAUUUAUAGGCAUUUUUUAUUUUAUUUUAUUUAUUUAUGGGACGACUGGUCACACUGAUUAGUACUAAAGCAAAUUGAUUAGUAGCAUUUUCACCUUAUUAGGUUUUAAAACAGUUCAAAUAAAAAAUGUUAUCUUAAAUACAGUUGAGAUGAGUCCGACUUGCCAAUUUUGAUUCCAAAUUCAACUUGAACCAAUUCUGCUUAUGAUUUUUGAAAUAACAAAACAAGUUUUGAUAUGAACUUUUAAUUAAAAAGGGUUGAACAUGAUGCUUUUUAAAAAAAAAAAAAAACAAAAAUAAAGGAAAAAGGAGGAUCAAUAGGGUUAAACAUGAUUGAAAGGUAGAUAGAUAUCCUUGCCUUGGAGAUCGGAGCGAAUGACAUUCUUGAAAAUUCUCGCCUGCAUUAUUUGGUUGCUACAACAACUGGUAAUAUGCUCAUUAGAUGUUCCUCGCUAGUCGCUAGCUUACAUGAAAUGGAAAAGCCGCCCUUUUUUUUUCUUUCCUGGUCCUUAAAAAAUCAGCCGUUCUGGAAACCAACCAGAUGGUAACAUUUGUUUCAAUUUUCGUACGGCUAAAAACAUGUUUUGAUUUUAGUUAGUUGUAUGGAGAGAGAGAGGGGAAGCGAACCCCAGAAUUUCCACCAAGCAGCCUGACAGAAAGGGAGAUGCUGAGGAAUAUGCCAGCCAGAAUUCUGAUUCCAUCUGGCGAAUUAUUUUGAUUGUUUCCUGUCGAAGGCUUCUAUUAUUAUUCUCGACACCAUUUCUCCUCUCAUCUGAAAGCUACUUACUAUUAACCACUGUGAAUGAGAAGCUACUUACUAUUAACCACUAUGAUACUCCCCCGUCAAUUUGUCAUUUCUUAGGAAUGCAAUAUGAGUCUCCUUUUCCUCUCAAGCCUCGGUGAAACCGUGCACCGGACUGCGACUUUAGGACCUUCUUUAAUUGCUCGACAAAUACUGCUACAUUAGACGAUUACUAUUUGUUCUCUUUUGCUUCCUUCCAUUGACUUGUACACUUAAACUGUCAUAAUGAUUAAAAUUUUUUAUUAAAAAAAAAAAACCAUUCUUCACCUUCCUUUUAAGGAACAAAACAAAAACUAGAUCAAGAAUUCAGAACAGAACACUACAGUUUCUAAACCAUAUUCAUUUGCUGCAGCACACAGGUUUUUCCUCUACAAUGCUCAAGAUACCAACAAGUCUGCAAAAUGCUUUGAAGGUUUACAUCAUUCUUAUUAAUAAUACCAGCCAUGUACAUUCCUCGCUGUCAUAUAUCAUGCACCAUUCACAUUCAUAUUCACAUCUCUCUCUCUUGCUGAAUCUAUCGUCUUCCAGCUUUGUAUCCGGAAUAUUGAAACCUCCAGCAAACUAAAGAAGAAGAAAAAGAAAUGAAAAGCUUUACGAAAAGGGGGUCCAUGUUUCCAGAUAUUCUGUCACUAGAAACUAUCGUUGCAAAUAAAAUAAAAUUGGAGGGAAGAAAAUAACUCCCGACAGAUAUUACAAUAACAUGGCCGUGUCAACUAAUGGAACUACACAAAAGCCGCAUUCAUGGGCCCUCUUUCGGCUCUAGCGCAGCAAUUUCUCUGACAACUUGGGCUUUGUCAGCCUCAAACUGUUCAUCCUCUGCACCAAGACGCAAACAACUAGAAUUAGAAUGCGCUAAACCCAAUAAGCUCCAGGAGAGGGUAAACCGUCCAUGUUUGUUCUCUCUCACCUUUAUCCAACUUGAAAUCAGCAAAGAGGCGCAGAAGUUUGCUUCUAUUUGCCACAAGGAUGCUAACGAUAUCUGGGGGCUUGUGUUGAUUGGCAGCGAAUAACUGUGGGACAAAAAUUGCAUUUUUGGUCAGGAAGAACCAACACCAACCUGGCCUUGAUUUCUUGGCAAAGCAUAUACCAGGGUGCUUGAGAUACGAAGCAAUACCUUAAAAACAUGAAAUGCUUCAAUCUGAAUGCUCUUGCUGGAUUCCUGCCAGAGAACAAGUGUUUGUUCAGUAUGGAACAACAGAUGUAACAGAUCAAAAGAGACAAAAGAACAAAAUAUAGUUCACCGUCUACAACGGCAAGGGGCAAGAAAGGAAGAAAAGGGAGUUUGGUGAAUGACACAUUCAAAGUACAAUAAGAUUUGACCUUAGCCAAUAUCUAUCUAUUCGUUUAGAACAAUUUCUUUAUUACAUUGUUGCAGUAAGAUGAUCUCCAGACUAUUUCAAUAUCUUUAUUUACGCCAAGAAGAGAGAGAGAGAGAGAGAGGCCCAACCAAAUGGUAUUUCUCAAUCAAGAGGAGAAAACAUACUCUAAGGAGAUUCAUUAGAAUCCUCAAGUUGUCUCUUGAGCUAACAUAUCGAGUCAUGACAGCUGAAUUUGAGCGGUCAAGCAGCAUAUCCCCCAGCAACUGUGACCACCAAAAGAAUAAUUGUCUUAAACAAUAACUUUUCAAACAGAAAUAAUAAUAAUAAUAAUAAUAAAUACUGGAAUAAAACGAUAAUUACAAUCAAUCCUAUGAACGCCUAAAUUUUCUUUGGCUGAUAGGAUAAAAGAAGGCCAAAUGGACAGAAUAAAUGCAUCAGAUGCAUGUGCCAUGGUAUAGCUCUUCAGUUCACUUGAGUAAGAGAAUGCAAACUAGAGAGUUAAAAUUUUGGAACUCUUAAUAACAGAGAGACUCGCACUUCAAAAAGAAUGGAGAGAAACCCCUGAACACAAAUUUACUACAAGAUGGCCCUCAUUUUCUCCUGUAUGCCUGGCUUUUAGAAAUUUUAACAACUAUAAUUCCAAUCCUUUUCUCAAUAUUCCUCCUAGUUUGAAAAAAAAAAAUGUUGAAAGGCAUAGAUUAAGGAACACUUAUGCAGAUGCCUUCAUUGGAAAACUACUACUCCUUGCAUCUCAAUAAACCGUUAAGUAAGCACAUACACCAUUUUCAAUCAACAUACAUAAAAUUGAAUGGACAGAAUUCUCUCAUAAUAUACGCCAUAGUGAAUAUGCAAAUCAAAUAUAUCACAGUAAGGCCCUACAGAAUGGCAGAAUUAACAUUUUAUUGUAAAUAAAUAUAUCAAAGACAAGAAACAAGACUGAGAAAUAGAAAUUAGAUAACCAUACAAGGUACAAUCACAAUCCAAACCCUACCUUGACAGCUUGCCUUCUGGUAAUGUAGUUUGGAGAUUCAAGCAGCUUUGAGUUAUAUUCAGCAAAAAACUGCAACCAUGAACAUUAAUCAGGAUCCAAAGCAUAGCUUGCCAUGGGAGUUUUUUUCUACAUAUUAAAGAAAAGAAAAGAGAAAGAAGAAGGUAACAUAGAUUGCUUAGCCAAAGAAUCAUGUUGCACACAGAAAGCAACAGAUGUAAUAAACCGAUACAAGUAUUGAUCAUUGGCAUCUUGUGAUAUCAGAUUUCACAUUAGAUACUGAAUAGCAGUCUACAAUUGCUCCAUAACAAAAUGUCAAUCCUUGCUAAGAAGAACCAUUAGGAACAACAACAAAUGGUCGACUGAGAUUAAUAUUCAAAAUAGGGGAAGCACAGAGAAAUGCUGAUUCAGUAUUUCAAUCAUCACAUUAUUUGUAAUCUAAACAACAGCUCCUAAACACAUUCAAGAACAUUAUUAGACGACCAAGUAGAAAAGCUUCCCAAGCAUGUCAAAGCAGCUACACAAGAAUCAUAUAAUAUCAUGCCAGAUCAACAACACGAGCAUCACAGGGUAGGGAGGUCCAGAAUUAACUGAAUAUCUUACAAAAAGUAGAAUUAACUGAAUAAGUAUUGUGAAUCCCUGAUGCCAAAACAUAAAUUAAACUAAUGCAAUAACAAAACUUUUAACAGCUAGACUUACAAAAUAUCCAAGAAAAUCUUUUUGUUGAAGCUCCAAAUAGGGUACAUUCGAUAUUUUUUAGACACACAGGCACACUGAGAGAGGGAGGGGGCAACAGAGAGAGAUAACAGAAUAUGCAUGCAGCAAGCCAAAAUCCUUUACCCAGUCAUAAUUCUUUGAAAGAAAUUCAGCUACAGUUGAUUUGUGCCUUGUCAAGAGUUCCUGCAAUGUGACGAACUUGUCAAACCUGAUGCUUGAUAAAUCCCAGAUGAAAUUACAAAUGAUUGCUAUCACUAGUCAAAGAGUGCACAGUUAUCACAAGACAACAGCAGAAUGGUGGAUUGCCAAUUGUGGAAAAAGAGUAAACAGCAUAAAAAUUAAGCAAAUGCUAUAGAAACUACUCUCCAAUUGCAAUCCCAGACAUAAAACUUGGUCAACAUUUCUUUUCCAACAUAAUUUUAUAGAAAAGACUAGCAAAGCACAUAGCUUGUAGCACCUUUCUACUUGAAGCAUUAGUAGGUACAUGAAGCUCAACCAGCAACAUAAAUAUUUACAAAUCACUUGAAGAAAUAAGAAGAACAAACUAUGGAAGGAAGGGAAACUAUCCUAAGCACAGCUUAUAUACAUUUGCUUUACACAUUAACAGGAAAAAGGACUUUCUGUAGUAAAACAGCUCUUGCGCUUUUAGUCAGAAGCACCUUACCUUGAAAGUUGCUGCAGCAUCAGCAGCAAUAUCGAAAUUUGGAAGUUGAAUAUAAUCAAAAAAUUUCUUCAUAUGCUCCGAUUCCAAGACAUACCUGUGAAUGAUGGCAAGUUUUAGAAUAUGGAAGUUAAAUAGGUAAAACAGCUCAUAAAGAAGAUUACUGUCAAAUAAUCAGAGCCAAAAACAGGAGGCAAACGUAUGGUGUUAUUUCCCUUUCCAAUACUUAAGCCCAAAAAUCAAAUAAGCAAAAUUACAACCAAAACAAAGAUUAACUUUCUGCACCUUGCAACAGUCUGAUGGCGUAUACAUUCUCUAAGCAUAGCACCAUAGUGUAAAGCCAUAUCUGUAUUCUCAUAACUGAAUAAUCCAACAUCAAAGAUGAAUGAGUUAAAUAACCCAAAAUAAGAAAAAAGACAAUAAUUCAACAAUGAGGGGAAACAAAAAACCCCACCUCUAGUAAGGUUAAGACACGGGGAACAGCCAAAAACACAUCUUCCAGAGAUGAUAUUUAGAAAGACAUAAAUGAAUGACUUUUAAGCUGUGUAAUUAGAAAGAAAGGCACUUUGCAUGAGAGCAAAUGUUUGCAACUUAAGAUGAUGCCAAUUAAAACUCAACUAUAUCAGUACCCAAUGUAAUGUACAUUUUAACUUGCUUUAUAUACUACACUGUACUGAGAUUCAGAGUUUCUUCUUCAUUACUUAAUUAUCACCCCCACGGUGGAAAAAAAAAAGAGCAAGAAAAUACUCCCAUCAGAAGUUGUUGUAGUAUUCUCUUUCUAUACAUAUAAAAGAUCACAUUCAUUUCACAAUUACAUGAGCUUGCUGAGUUCCAUCUCUCAUUGACUGGAACUCAUUAUUGAAAGUACAGCCAGAUAAAUGCAUAAUGACAUAUCAAACUCGACAUGAGAUAAAUUAUUUCCUCUCGCAACACAUGAUGUGGAUAAGUAACACAAUGACUUCUGUUCAAGAAUCUUGUGAAAAGCAUAUCAUUCUAAACCUAGAUUAAUCGGAUUAACAUUCCAAACGGUACUGAAACAAGAAAAGUGAAAUCCAGGGAUUCAUCAAAAUUCACUAAUACAACAUUCCGAAAGCUCUAAAACAGCUGCUUACCCGCCUAUCAAAAUAUCCAUCAAAUCUAUGUUUGCUUCCAAGUAAUCACAGGCAAUCAAUCGUGACUGGACCUGCUGCCUCUGCAGAUUUGCAACAACUUGAGUAACAUCCUUACGGGUCUGUGAAAGGAUAACCAUGUCAGAAUCAACAAUGAGCAGAAAUAAAAAGUAUCCAAAUUCCACUUCCAACGCACCUUAAAGCGAGAAUAGUGAAAAUAGGUGAUGAUGGUUGUCAUCACAAAUCAGCACUAAUUGGACAGAGUGGAUUUAAGAAGAAUAUCCAUCAUACUUACCUCCAAAUUUAACUUUGGCAGACAGAUGAUUAAGAGGCGUAGUGUGUUCUCUCUGAAGAACUCCUGGGUCAGUUGCGCACAAGCUUCUGUUACAGGCUCAGCUUCACUAUUUCCAUAAAGAAUUGACUUCAAUUCUCUCAUAAGCUUGCUUAAUUCCAUCAUCUGCAGACGUCAAUUUGAAAAAGGCUACAGUCUCAAUAACUAAAUAAACACAGAUUAUAAGCUGACCUACAUCCACACACAAAACUCCCACUAAAUACAUUCACUUCAACAAAGAAACAGGAUAUUCUUGCCAAAAACCAGAAAUGUAUACAUACAGCACGAAACAGUUAACUAUUAUAGAAUAUUAAAUUCCAAACUCGUCCUACCAUGAUGGUUAGAUUCUCAGCAUCCGAUCCCCGACCACUUUCUCACCCCUCCUCAUCCAAAAAAUUGAAAAACAAAAAACACGGAAGAAAAAUUGAAUCCAGUUGCAACACUUCCAUUCCUAUCUAGAACAUCUAACUCCACUUCAUCUAGCAUUUCCCAAAAAAAAAAACCAUAAUUUAAAUUCACAUAAAAAUGCACACAAUUCCAUUUAAAAGAAAAACAAAUCUAAAUCAUACCCAGAUCAGCUCUUUCCUCUAAUUAAACAACAAGAAAAGAAGCAAGGGAAAACCGAAGAGCUAGAAAACCUAAACAAAAUAGAAGCGUAAAAAAAAAAGGGAGCUUUACCUUUUCUUCGCGCUUGGUCUCGCGCGUGGCAUCGGGGCCGCGAUCGACAUAGAUGAGAAGAUCCCGAGUCUGACGAACGAGGUCAGCCGGGGUCUUGGGUUUGGACUUAAACAAGCCCUUCAUCUUUUUCCCACUACCAGUGCCGCCACCGUUACCGUCGCUGCUAUCCGAUGCCGCCGACGAUGGGAGCCUUCGAGGCGGCGGCGGCGGCUGCUGCUGCUGCUGUUGCCUCUGAGUCACUGAUGCAGCUGACGACGCCGAGGCUCCGUGCGUCGCAGCUGAGGUUCCACCUGACCAGCAAACCCCUAUUUUUAAUCCCUUCUAAUUUCCAAUUCCACCCACUAUUUAUCCACUUUUAACCUCUCCAGAUUUGCAUUAAAAACUGUUGCUUUCUAAACCUAAAUUAAGCUAAAGAUAUUUGUUUCUCAACUCAUUUUUUUCCUUUUUAUUCCCAUCACUCUCCUGGGUUUGGGGGAAAAAAAAAAAAAAAACAAGUUUAACAGUUUACUCGUAUGUUUCGUGUCGGGGCAUCGGUUUAUCAGAUUCCAUCGUCCUCUGCAGUUCUUCUGGGAAAUGUACUGCCAGUAGUAAUAGCCACUUUGAAUUUGCUUAGCUCAAAUCUUUGGAUAUAUCUGCGACCACAUGAAUACGAACCUUUUUGGAUUUUAUUGCAGCAUCGAGAGAAAGCGUGACUUGUGACGCGGAGCAAGCGUUACAACGAUAAUUUUAAAUGAACCCCUCAUAAUAAAAUAGGUUUCCGUUCGUCGUCUUAGACAACAAAAUUUUUUGGAUAAUUACAGAAACCUCCCCUGAGGUUUCUGAUAAUUUCCCUGAGCUCUCUUUAAAUUUUAAAAAUUACACAUACCUCCCUUAAUUUGAUAGUUUUAGUAAUAAAAUCUUAAAAUAAUACUGACUUAGUCAAAUUUUUAAGUAAAUACCCAAAAUACCCUUGUAUAAUGAAUUUUAAUUUACUUUCCUAUAGAAUUAUAAGAUUAUCUAAUAUAAUUGUAAGGAAAAGAUGCCAAAUUUUUCAUGUCCAUAUAUACUAUUUGAUAAACAAAUGUAAUAAUAAUUUUAUCACUACGAUAGGAUACUUUUGAUGGUAUUUUUUUAUGGAUUUACAAGAUAGAAAAUAAAAUGUUGAAAUAAUUGAUUCAGAGUUUAUAAAUUUUUUGAGUAGUGAAAUUAUCAUAAUUUAGUAGUGAUUUUGGGCAUUUCUUUUUUAUUUAUUGUUAAUUUUAAAAUCAAAAAAUAGAAAGCAAAGAUUAGCAAAAAAAUCGGAUUACGUAUAAAGUUAACUUGUCAAAAAAAUCAUUACAUGAGUCGGCUGAUUUGUAUCUACUUACAUGAGUUGAUAAUGCCAAACCCCUUGUAUUAGUUUGAGAACCCUGAGACAGUGUAAUUUUUAUUUGUCUUUUUCAGAUCUAUUCUUUAACAUCUAUAUAUGUUUGAUGAUAUAAUUUCUGUCAUUAGUGUAGAUUUUAACGAAAUUAUGAUGUUUUAUCGAAAUCCACUUUUGAAAUCAACUUCGAUGCCAAUUUUGUUGCUGUGAUUUUUUAAUGAUAUCGAUCAUCGGAAAUCAACUAGCCAGUCAAAAAAAAUUUUUUUUUUUUGAAGCACUAUUGCCCAUUUUGGGACCAAUAAAACAAUCAGUACUUACUUGGUCUUGAUUAAUAAUAAUAAUAAUAAAUAUUUAGCGCAACAACCCUAAUUUAGAGGACCAAAAUAUAAUGAAUCCCUAGUUUAUUAUGAGAAAAAUCUAACAUUUUAACCAUCUAGCGUAUAUUUUUCAAAUUAACCAUUUCACACAAUGAUGAUCGUAAAAUCCCUUUAGUUCAAGGCAGACUCCAAAUGAGGAACCAUAAAUCCAAUCGUGAUCUAGUUAAAUCUCCCUAGUCGGGAUGAAAAUUAGGUACUCCAAUUUGAUUAUCACCAUAAGGAUCUGAUUUUGGAUAAGCUCCAGAUUCUUUCGUAACUUUUUUGAUUAAUCGUUAGCUGUUGUGGAUAAUUAUAUUUUACUGGGCUAUUAGUUUGACGUUCUUCACUUCAGGGAAAAAAAUAUAUAUCUUAUCUGUUAGACUCUAAGACAAUGACAUCUUUGAAAAACCGACUAGUUCCAUGAGAUACAGGCAUGAAAUUUGAAUCAAACCACUCAAGAUUUCAGCUGAUUUUACUUGAUCGCCUUCUUCACGAGUGAUUUGAAAAAGAAAAGGAGUUGCUCAUAUAUGUACCACUCGUUCUGUGUAAAAGUCAGGGCCCAAUGUGGUCCAACAUUUUCACUAAACAUGCAGUUAAUAGUUAUGUAGCAAUCCUUUUUUCUGACGGAAUGUUGUGUAGCAAUCUACUAGUCAGUAACAACUGACAACUCUUUUUUUUUUUUUUUUGGAGGGUGGAAAAGGGGGAAGUGUUGAAAUUGAUGCAUAAAUAUAGAAACAUAUGGUCAAAUCUUACAAGCAGAAGUUAGCAGGAUCUUCACAAGAUGGCCUGUUAUGAAAUAGCUUUGUAUCCCGAUUAGGCCAGAGGUUCAAGCAACCAAAGCAGAAAAUGGUGCCCCAAGGGAUUUUGAUUUUGAUUUUUUGAUUUACACCUUAUAAGGACUGCAAGCCACAGAAUGGAUACUUGUCUUCAGAGAUAAUUUUGCAUAACUGAUUUGAGAUAGUAGACCCUCAAAAAAAAAAAAACUUUUUCUUUUCUGAGAAGAUAGUAGAACCACAAUUUUUGUCGGUGUGCUUAUCCUGUUAUCAAAGUUACAAAAAUAGAUUGAACCUUGCUAAAUAUGUACGGGGAAAGCGUCCAAAAGAUAACCAACACCUAUUUGAUGGUUUCUUAACACCCCUACUUCACAUACAUUUCGCACAUCAGUUGGUUAUCCCAUGGAAACCGCACCCCAAGUGCAUUCUUGAUCCUUCACCCACCCAUAGUAGGCAUGCUGUCAAAAUAAGCCGAGCACAAGUAGCACCAUACUCGAGUUUGAACUCACCCGAAGGAUAUGAGUGUCAUUUAAACUCGAACUCGAGUUCGAACGAGUCAAGGAACUCCAACUCAAACUUGUCUAGAGGAAGUUGUAGAAAUACUUGACAAGACUCGAAAACAAUGCCAAGCAGGUAUUGUCCAUUUCGUGCAUGUGUGUGUGUAAUAUUUAUCUUUUAAUUAUUUAAUGCAAUACUCGAUAAAAGCUCACCGAGUACCUGAUUCUUAAGUUUGAAAAAGACCUGACAGUGUUUUUGAGUAGCUCUAGUUCAAGUUGAGCUACUCGAUUCAACAUCACCCCUACUCCGUAAUGCGGUGGCCCUUCCUCGCCCCACCUAAGUUUGGUCCCUAGGAUUUCAUUAAUUUUUUAGGGCUUUCAGUAAUUGCCCAAGUAACCAAGUUAUGAUGGCAAUGCAAUUGACAAUUUUAAAAUCAACACUUUUUUUUUUUUUCUUCAAAAAGUGGGAAGGUUUGAACCCAAAACAUUCUACUUAUAAUCCCUCCCAUUUUACCACCAACCCCUCCCCCUUCAUGAAUAAACAGGCUAUUUGAAUCUCAUGAAUCCAAACAGCCUUGUUUAAUUUCUUUGAAACAAUAAAAUUAUUUGAAUCAAGAUUAUUUUGGAUCAAGAUUGAAUUGUACGAAAUGGGUGCAACUUAGCUCUAUUGAGCCUGACUAUGAUCUCACAAAUUUGAUAUUACUAAACUAAGGUUACAAGCCCAUGAGAGAUGAUCAGCUCCCAGUUUGAGUUCGGUUUUAAAAUUUCAACUGUUUGUCAUUUCGGGGUCAUCGUCUGUUUCUCAAGGCUAGGUAAAAGUGUGAAAAUCGGCGAUUCGGACGAGAGACUGAUCAUAAUUGGUUGAAUUUAUUUAUAUCUAUCUAACAAAUGCAUUAAACUGUGUAUAUUCUCAAAAGGGUGUGGGUCCACCUAAUUACCCAAAUUGGCCUGCUUAAAAUUCACUUACUUUUUUGUUUUCUUUUUCUUUUUGAUUGUUAUUUAAUUAGAAAUAUCGAUACUUUAUUACUAUUGGUUUGAUAAGAAAUUCAAAUUUAUCCACUCAACACCUACCAAAAAAUUAAUUUUGAAUGUAUAAUUUAAAGGAAAAAUCAUUCAAAAAAUCAUUCACAUUUCGUCAAAUAAAUUUUUUUGUCCUUCACUUUUAAAACGGUAACUUUACGUCCCUUACAAAAUUAAAUUAGUAAAAUUUGAUCCCAACCUCAGUUUUCUCUUAGUUUUUACUCUAAAUCCAUUACAUGACUCAUAUAUGGUCAUUUUUUUAUUGGCAAAAAAAAUUACUAUAAAUCUUAUUUAUAGUCAAACAAAUAAUCCGAUCUAAGUAUAUUUAUUUUUGCUCAUAGGAAAAUAGAAUCUAGCCUGAAUUAUAUUCCUUUUUCUCCCUAAAAAAAAGUAAGAUCCGAUCAAAUAUAUAAUCAUUAUUGUUGCCACUAAAAUUGUGGGAUUUGACAUUUUUUAUACAUAAAACAUGACUUCAUGUGGGCCACGCUGUGAUUUCAACUAAAAAGCAGUCGAAAACUUAAAUUGGAACUAAAUUUUGGUAGCUUGAAUUUAGAGACGUGAAGUUAACAUUUUACAGGUGAAGGCUGAAAAAUUCAUUUUGCGAAAUGUAAGGGAUAUUUUGAGUGAUUUUUUAAAUUUUAAAUGGACAUAAAUGGGUAACGCAACUCAACCUACUACCCACUAAUUAAAUUGGUCUAAUCGAGUCACUCAUUUAAACCCUUCAAAAUGUAUCACACGCCUAAACAUAUUCAUUAGCGAGUGGAGUUGGAUGGAUCAACCUCCAAGCGUAGGCAAGAUAGGCUGGUUUAUCUUUAGACAAUAUUUUACGAUAACUGAAAAACUAAAUUAAAUUAGGUAAGGAUUGCAUACAUGAUCCGAGCAGGCCGGCCCACAGUUAACAAUGGAUGGUAGCGAAACAAGAAAACAUGGGGAACUCGAUGAUAAUGACAAUGGUCAUGCACAUAGAAUGAGAUGAUUUCCCAACUGGUAUUCUAAUUUUUCAUGCUUAAUAUCAAUAGAUCAUAAGAUUUGUGAUUCAGCGGUAAUUGGAGACCCCUUUUUAUACGGUUUUCUGAUGCUUGGGUUGGCUGCUUUGGGGAAGACUUCUCAUUCAUAUUAUUUUAUUUUAUUUUUUUUUUAAAAAAAAAAAAGAGAGAGAGACUUCUGAUUCAUAAGCAUGGCGUUAAUUGUGGGCUUGACCCUGGUAAGGUUGCAUUCCCAGAUGUAGACUGCACUCUCUCAGUCGUUCUUAGCAUCCCCACUCCACCACUCAAGCGACAGAGACCGCUAUUAGGCAGAUCAUUUUGGCUUUCUUCAGGCAAGGUUCUAGGAUUAACUAAGAAAAUAAAGAGGUUCUAGGAUUAACUGAAAAAAAAAAAAAAAAGAUUUAGAGCAGGAUACACACAGGAUUAAAUUAAACAAGCCGAUAAACAAAUGAGGGAUGGAUCAAAUAAAACGAUGUAUUAUUAUUAUUAUCAGAAGCAAACAAGUGCUUCAACUCUUGCAAAUGUAUGAAAGCUCUUGUAGUACAGUACACUUCAAACAUCUCUCAUAGUCAAACCACAGUUUUAAGCAAGAAAUACACAUGAUUAUACAUACACCUCUCAUGCCACAGUUUUAAGCAAGAAAUGCACAUGCUUAUUACAUCCUCUUAAAUCUGAUCAGGGAAGUUUCCUGAAGGAAGUAAGCUUCUUGAAUUUGAGCCAGGGCUUGACCCAAACAAUGGCCUCGUACAGAUUUGAAGCAGUGCCAUCCAAUGCCUUUAUCACAAUCUUGUAAUUUGUGCCGGCCACCACUUGCUCCUGCGCCUCCACCACAGUUUUAAACUCCAACUUGGUACCGGCCUCCUUGUUGUGCUCAUCUAUGGCAAAUUUUCCGUUCUCUACCACCUCUGGGUCCUUGGGGUCAGCCUUACUCCAACCGCCGACUAAGGCAUCUUUGGGGCGACCACCCAAAGCCGCGGAAGGGACGUCGGAGAAAAGACAGAUAGCUGCCAGGGUGGUGAGUAGGAGGAGAUGGGGAAAGGCAGAAGCCAUUCUUGCAGCGUCGGUUAUUGGUGUUGGGGCUGAUGGAUGGAUGGAUGGAUUUUGAACGGGCGGUUUCAAUCUAGUGGGGGCGUUAUUUAUAUCCCUGAUCAAUUAUAGAAAACAUCCUCCGUGUUUGUUACGAAACAAUUUAUUGACUUCAUUCAUUCAUUGUGGUAAAAUGUUUAAUGAAAAGACAGAUUUUACUUUCCUUAAUUAGUGGCUGUCCUUAAUUAUAAGAUCAGUACGAUGAUGUUAUUUUAGCGUCGAUGGCUGGCUCAAUGCCAUACAGCCUGAGCAUGACCUGUCCUGCUGUCCUUGGCUCCAGUUUAGAUAUCGACCACAGUUCCAUUUUGAACCGGAAUCAGACCCUGCGGGAAUUGGAGUCAAAAACCAUUCCCGAAGGCUACGUUUGUUUUGAUGUUUUAUGCGUUGGUACUGGUGAAUGGGUUUCAAUUUGACUGUGCUGAGACGUAGUAAUUUAUCAUCAUGGAAUCUGUAUUAAAUUGUGAAUAAAUGUUGUUCUCCUGAUUUUUUUGUUACAAAUAAUUAUUUCCUUCCUUUCUUUUGAUAGCAGUUAUUUCUUUCCUUUUAAAAGUUGAAUAAAUGUAGAGGUUGUGUUUUCCUUAUUAGUGGCAAAACAUGUGGACCUUCGUUUAAUCUCUAUUGGCAAAAUAUGGAGUCCGCCUGAACAUGACCUGUCCUUGGCUCCAUCACAUCUCCAGUAGAAAACGUGUAUAAUCAUCACGUAAUUUGGCUCUAGCAUCCUUGGAGAAAACCAAGAGCAGAAAUUUUUAUAAUUUACUAAAAUAAACGAAAAAGAAGACGACGCCACGAUUUAAAAUCAUACGAAGCUUCCAUUGAAAACUAGCUGAAAAUGCUGCAGCAGCGUUCUCCAUUCAUUAGUAGUGCAUGACUAUUUCCUUAGCCCUACGAAGUUAUCAGAAUCUUACAAAUAAAUACAGAAAAAAAAAAAAAAUUCUAAGCUUGCGUCUAAUAAUAGAUGCAAAUGAAAGUAAAGCUUGCUUAAUGAAUAAACAACCACCAUAAUGGCUGGCUGAGUGCUCAAAUUCGAUGCCUGUGC
Molecule: long non-coding RNA, 71068 nt
Filed under: Coffea arabica (coffee)
Lineage: Eukaryota; Viridiplantae; Streptophyta; Magnoliopsida; Gentianales; Rubiaceae
Description: long non-coding RNA (CARA_LNC006155)
Rfam family: tRNA (bases 2137-2217)
Source: RNAcentral